RNAcentral lists this long non-coding RNA (83748 nucleotides) under Triticum aestivum (bread wheat). Its description in RNAcentral is "long non-coding RNA (TAES_LNC000723)". The record is from RNAcentral. Lineage: Eukaryota; Viridiplantae; Streptophyta; Magnoliopsida; Poales; Poaceae.
GGGUAUGCAUGUCCCCUAGCAAGUCGUACAAAAGGAGCCCUUGCAAGAACGUUCGCUGCACCGCGGCCUGUCACAAAGAGCACUUCAAGGGUGGGUACUGUGCCACUAAGAAGUCAAUUGUUGGCGAUGAGCUCAACGAAGACAACGACGACAACUUCUUUCACAAACAACCUAAGAAAAAGACGUGCAUGUGUACAUUUCAAUGUAGUAAAGCCCCACCACCACCGUCAGAACCUGACGUGCCAGAGCCACCGGGUGAACCUGAGGUGCCAGAUCCUAAGAAGAAGCCGCCGCCGCCAUAUGUACGUGAUGUGCCGGAGCCGCCCUCGGGAGAAAACAAGAAGAAGCUACUGCCAGCUGUUGACCAGUGAGCAAAUGGUCUAUUCUGCCCGUUCGUGGAAAAUGAUUUCAAUAAGAGAGGAAUUAAUCAAUGCUUGACCUGUACACAUGCAUAAUUGAUUGCAUGAAAAUAAUAAUAAUCUUGGUACUGUUAAAGGGAGUAUGUCGCUGUGAUGGUCCCACNNNNNNNNNNNNNNNNNNNNNNNNNNNNNNNNNNNNNNNNNNNNNNNNNNNNNNNNNNNNNNNNNNNNNNNNNNNNNNNNNNNNNNNNNNNNNNNNNNNNNNNNNNNNNNNNNNNNNNNNNNNNNNNNNNNNNNNNNNNNNNNNNNNNNNNNNNNNNNNNNNNNNNNNNNNNNNNNNNNNNNNNNNNNNNNNNNNNNNNNNNNNNNNNNNNNNNNNNNNNNNNNNNNNNNNNNNNNNNNNNNNNNNNNNNNNNNNNNNNNNNNNNNNNNNNNNNNNNNNNNNNNNNNNNNNNNNNNNNNNNNNNNNNNNNNNNNNNNNNNNNNNNNNNNNNNNNNNNNNNNNNNNNNNNNNNNNNNNNNNNNNNNNNNNNNNNNNNNNNNNNNNNNNNNNNNNNNNNNNNNNNNNNNNNNNNNNNNNNNNNNNNNNNNNNNNNNNNNNNNNNNNNNNNNNNNCACAUCCAAGGACCCAACACCUGUUUUCCCCUAAAAACUGCUAGACCAACGAACGGGCUACUUUCCUUUCCAAUCAAAACCUACCACGUUAGCUCUCACGUAAAGUAUGUCAAAAGAUUUUCGUAGAUGUAGCGUUAUCCUUCAUCCCAUCCACGCUCGGAUAAAAGAAAAGGAAAAGUCAAUGAGAUCCCGCGAAGCAUGAACACAUAUCCACACACCCCAUCUCCCCAACCAUGUCGCCCACGAUCACGUAUCUCUCCCCUCACCCGAGAAAAUUUGCCGACGCUGCUCCACUCCUCGUUUGCCUCAUGGUCCUGGGAGCACGGCCGCUAGGAUGGGGGACGGGUGGGAGCGUGCACUACAAGAAACCUGUUAAUCCAUGACGGAUUUCUGGUGACAUUUUCAGAAACUGUCAUGGAUGACCUGGUACAACCCCGCAAGCCCGCUAAAGCCCGUCUUCCUGUUCCUGUAUAAAAACCUAACCCUAAAUUCUCCUGCUCAGCUCCCGCUCUCUGUCCUCCUUGGCCCCCUCCCCCGUCUCCCACAGCACGGCACCACCCACCACUCCUCGCGUGCUUCCCACACCUCGCCGCCGGCCCUCCCCCUCCCUUCCCCUUGCCUUGUAGCUCCAGCAACAACCAGAUCCGCCGUAAUCCCCACCCAUCCAUCCUUCUCGCGACACAUCUUCGACCCCUUCGUCCUCUAGUCCGACUAGAUCUACUGCUCCUGGUCUCUAGCGCUCGCCCGCGACCCCUAGCGAUGGCUAGGGUUUCGGCCGCGACAUCGUGUCCAGCGCUGCGCAUCUUCGACGACUCCUCUCCGCCUACACAACGCGUCUCACACAGCUCCUCUCCGUCCACAUCGUGCCCCCUCGCGCCCAUCUUGCGGGCUGCACGGUGCUGUCGCUGUCCAACGUCUGGCGACGGGCGACCAACUACUGGGCUGCCAUCGGCGAGACCUUCUUCUCCACCAAGGUUAGCCCCCCGCCUGACCCAGGUCACACUAACCUCAUCCCUGAUGCCCCCGCCCCCUCUCGUGAUUCAGUCUGAUCCCCCUCACGCAUGUGUGCAGGAAGUGUAGGGCCCAACAGUUUGUGAAUCGUUUCUGAGUACUUGGCAUUCAAGGAGCAGCUUGUCGAUGAGUAGUAAGUUCAGGAUGAAAUCUUAGCAGCGUAGGUAACUUGUUCAUUCUACUUGUACAACCUUCUGAAUUCAUUCUCUCUAUGUGGACAGCAGUUAAAUUUGUGCUUGUGCUUGAUUCACCCACUACUCCAUAUGCUGUCUUUGGGUUCAGAGUGUGUUGAUGGCUCAUCCAAUUGAUGAACUGUUUUUUAAUCGCUGAUGUAUCUAAGGGAGGAAGACAGGGAGUGAUGUAGUUGUGCAACUGCUUGCUUCUAAAACCUUAUUAUUUUGUUUGUGUUUUGUAAGACUGUAGGGCACACCUCAAUUGGAAACACAUCUGCACUAGAGCAAUUUUGUUUCAGAAUGCCACAUUGGUGGUGAUGUCUGAAUGCAGGUAGCGCUAGCAGCUGUGCCACCGCAUGGCGCACAAUAGAGCUUAAGAGGGCAGCCGCGGUGGAGCUGCUCCGCGAUUAACCAGGGAUUAGUUCUCUAUUGUCACUCCUAUUAUUUCCAGUCCCCAGCUCAAGUGUUACUGAACUGCACUUAUUUAGUUCAUCUAGUUCAGAGUUAUGCAUUUUUCACCAGGGUUUUCAACUAAUUUGUUUGUGCCCCACUAAUCUUGGUGGUUAAAUAUAUCAUCUUAAGCACUCUAAUCGAAGUAAUCCCAGUAUGCAUGUGGCUAAAAUCAAUAACUGAUACAUCCUAACCACUAUCUCAGUAUCUCUUAACAGAACCAUUUUCCUUUUUAUAGAUCUAUUAAUGGCCAUGGCUCUUAGUUAUUUUGUAUGCCAUUUGAAGUUCAGUUGACAAACUAAGUGUUGUUUACUAUUUUCAGUGCCCUGAUAAAUAUUUAGUUUCAUGUGUAAACUUGUUGAGACAUGAACAUCAGAAUCUUACGCCAGCCAAACCGUCGAGCAGUGGCAAUGCAUCAUGGAUAUUGUUUGUUAGUUACGCCAUUUUGGCCGGAUUUAUAGGGCCUCAACUGGUGCUGCUAUAGUACAUGAGUUUUGCUAUGUAUGUUCUAUUACAUUAUCACUUAUAAGUCAACUUGAUAAGACUUCCAUCUGACACAUUUCUGUUUGGAUUAAUUUGUAGCAAGCUCAUGUUUAUUGUUUUUUUAUAAUAGAUACUUUAUUAUUCUCAUUUGUAGGCACAGUAAGAUUUAAGGAUUUUAGAGAAUAUGCAAUUGAUUUUUGAAGUUUCUUCUAAUUCUCUUAUUUCUACUACUAUCUAUUCAUAUCUUCAAAUGUCUAAUGUUGUUGUAAAUAUGGUAGGUAUGAUUGGGUAGCAGGUUACUUGGUGCUGUCCAUCACAAUCCGCCAGGACAUAUAGUUGACAUCACGAGGGUCGAGGACUAACAAUGAAUAACAACCUUAGUAGCUUAUAUGUUCUGUUGUUGUAAAUUGGAUUGUACUGGACAACUAGUUCCUAACCUUGCUGUGUGAUAUAUUUUGUCAAUAUAUGUUGUAUAUUACCAUUUUAUGGAGGAUUUUAUAAACUGCUCCGUUGUAGAUACCUAUAGAUUUUGUAAAUUGUUCUGUUGUGGAUACCUAUGGAGGAUUUUAUAUAUUGAACAAUUUGUGUAAUUUAUUGCACUUUGGAAAUACAGUCUUGGGCCAAAAUUGGCAGUAUUUUGUGUAACCCAUUGCGCUGAAAGUGUAUUGGUUCAAAAUUGGAAUGAAAGAAAUCGACGAGACUAAAUUUAAAUUGAUCCCAGAUUCAUGACGAAUUUCGUGACGAAAAAUAGUGUCCACAUAGGCAGCCACGUCAUUCCAGUUUGUCAAAUGAAAAUCCUACGUGGCAUUGGUCCAUGACAGUUAGUUCCGUCACAAAGGCUCGGGCCUAGUUUGGGCUUGGCCGGGCUUGAAGCAGAUCCAUGACGGUCAAGAUCCGUCAUGGAGAGUAUGAUGUCAAAUUAUGACGCGAUAUACAUGACGGAUUUCAAAUCCAUCAUGGAUGGGCAUGCAUGACAGUUUUUGGCUGAUCCAUGACAGUCAAGAUCCGUCAUGUAUUAACAGAUUUCUUGUAGUGGUGGUGCAAGAUUGGAGGCAGAGUAGGGUGUCUUGCAGUGAAGAUGUUCCCCACAACCACUUGUUCGCCUCGUCGUCAUCGUCGUGGUUGUGGGAGCGCGGCCACCGGGAUAGGGGCGGGGUGGGAGCGCGGUGCGCGAUUGGACGCAGAGUAGGGUGUCUUGCAGUGAUGCAUCCACCAAGUUUCCCAGGCUGCAACGUCCUUUGACAUGGAUACAAGCGCAUGCAGGGAGAGAGAACUGAGUGGGAGGUGUAUGGGGUCAACGCCCCCGUUAGCUUGUUGCUCGCCGCUGCUGGACGAGAUUAUGGUGGGUGUCGAUUUGAAGCGUGGGGAGAGAGCACCGAGGAAGAGCAUCGCAUUGGGGAUCGAUUUGGCCCCGAUCCGGCUUAAAGGAAUACAAGCCAUGCCCAUGCCACCCCAUGGACGCACCUGACCGAGGUCGGGGCUUGCCGUGGGUGCAUCCUGUAGGAGAUAUGCCCUAGAGGCAAUAAUAAAUGUUAUUGAUUAUCUCCCUGUUCAUAAUUAUGUUUAUGUUCCAUGCUAUAACUGCUGUGGUUCCCGAGCCCGUAUAUCCAUAAAGGCUCUGGGGAGAACCCAUAUGCACGUGUGGAAUAAUAAACGGUAAAAUGUAUUCCUAGUCGUGCCUCUAAGACUAGCUCAAGUGUUGCAUGAUGAUUAUGUUUUCCCAAUCAUGGGCAUGUCUAUGCCAAGAAACUUUGAGGGCACAAUGUCAGGAAGGACAUUUGUGUUGAAUCGACCCGAAUUGAUGCUAUGCUAUGAGAUACAUUCGUCACAAGUUAAUGGUUUAUAACACAGAGAUAGUUAAUAUUUGCAUAAUUCCUUAGACCAUGAGAGUAUCGAGUUUCUUCAUGCUUGCUUCAUGAACUUUGGGGUUUGUUAAACGUCAUCCGUAACUGGAUGGCUAUUACGGCGGCUUACGGGUUCAUGGGAAAGUAUGUUAAGUAACUUGAUAGCUCGAGAUUGGGAUUUGCUCCUCCGACGAUGGAGAGAUAUACUCGGGCCCACUCGGUGUUACGGUGUCCAUCAUCGUCUGGCCAGACACUUUGUGAUUUGAUCACGGGGAUGCCGGAACACGAAAUGAGAAAAGAGAACAAAACCGGUAACGAGGUAACUUGCAUAGUGGACAAAGUGUUGGCCCACGGGGAUGCAAUAAAUCUCACCUCAGGUGUUUGUGAUAUAUCGUGAAGCAACAGGAAUAGCUCACCUCAACUGGAGGUUCACUCGAAUAUUCAUUCGUGUGGGUAUAGGGGUCAAUAUGGGUGUCCACGGCUCCGAUGUUGAUCAUUGAUCGGAAGGGGUUCCAGGUCAUGUCUAUACUUCACCGAACCUAUAGGGUCACAUGCUUAAGGGUCAUCUAUCUGCUGAAUACUAGACAGGGAGUCUGAGAGAAAAUCACCAAAAAAGUUUCGGACACCGAAAAGUUUCGGACAGCGGAAUCGUACCGCAGAGAGAGGUCACCGGAUGAGUUUCGGUGAAACUGAAAAAGUUGUUUCGGGGUAUGCCAUUAAGUCAAAAUGGUUUCGGCACAUGCCUGAUAAUUCUUGGAGGGUGCCAGAAUCAUUCUGGAAACUUUUUGGAAUUUUCAGAAAUAAAAACCGAAAAUGUUUCGGAGCUGCCGGUACCGCUUUGGCUGUUUUUCGCAGAUGAAAUUAACUAAUCUGAAAUUGUUUCAUAACGAAUCCAAAAUCAUUUAGUGGGUACUGGAAUUAUUCUAAGACCCACAGAAAUAUUUUCGGAUUUAGUGGACGCGAAAAAUUGUCUUCAUGAAUAGUGAAAACACAUUCUUGUUUGCUUUUCGCAGAUGAAAAUCACUAAACCGAAAUUGUUUCGGAACGCGUUGAAAAUUAUUUUAGUGGGUACUGGAAAUGUUCUGAGCGCACAUAAAUGUUUUCAGUUCGAACGGACGCUGAAAAAUGUCGUCAUGAAUAGUGAAAGUGCUUUUUGCUUGGCUUCUUGGAGAAGCCACCUUGAGGGCCUUUUUGGUACUUCCCCCCUUGGCUUCUUGGAGAAGCCACCCUUAGGCUUGGCCUAUAAAUAGGGGUGGAGGGGGCUGCCUAAAGGAUCAUCCCUUCUCACAUACAAGUGCCAUGCAUGAUCUGGCUUCUCUCUCCCUCCCCGCGAAAUAGUUUCGUAGAGCCGAAAGGCUGUCUGGGUUCCGGCAGGAACUAGUUCUGGACGGCGAAGCCCUGCCGGAUAGAUGACACCGUAUGUGUGCAACUCUAUAGAGAGAUCGUAGUUUCGGUCUUAGUUCGUGAGUGCCUCCCGAAGCGCUGUCCAUGUGACCGUCCGAGUUUCGAAGGUCCUCACGAAGGGCUGUCCGAGUGACCGUUCGAGUUUCGAAGGUCCUCCCGAAGGGCUGUCCGCGACACCGUCCUGGGGGCUGUUCGACCGCCUCCCGGAGGGCUGUCUGAGGAGCAGAUGAGGGUAUACAUCCUCGCGGUUGGGAGGUUGUAAAUCCUAGCUGCGGGGAUCUGCACCGCCGAUCGUCAUCGACUCUACUUCCCGCUGCGCUACGAGUCGGUAACGAAAAAGAUCAAACCAUGUAUGCAGUCUCCAUAGUGGUCCGGGGCUGGUGCGUAGGUCGGAAAUUUUUUGUUUUCUGCUGCGUUACCCUACAGUGGCAUCAUGAGCCGUGCUAUGCGUAGAUGCAGGUUGCGAUCUAGAAUACAUAGAGAUGUAUGAGUAUUGCAUAAUAUAAUUAGGUAGUAGAUGAGAUCUAUUGCUAAAAAUUAUUUAUGCGGGUGACAGAUGAAAUCUGUUACCCGACGUUCUUGUUACUUCCCUAGAAUUUGCGUUUGCUCAAUCUCGAGACAGCAUGGUGGAAUUUGACAAAGUUCUGGCAAUCCGUGAUCCUGAUUGAUCAUGGAAGUGCUAUCAGUUCUUUGGGUUCUACCGUAGUCAAAAGAAAGAUGAAAUUCGCAGAUGAAAGGGCAUUGCAGAUAUGAUCUGCACGGGGGUCAUGCGUAUGACGAAGUUUAGUAUGGGGCUUGAGAUUUAAUUAUCUCGUGUUUCAUAUACCCCGAGAUGUUAAUCUAGCAACCUGAAUAAUCAUACUUGAUGAUAAAAUGUUGGUAGCUGCGGUUUAAGUCAAAACCUUAGAAGCCACGUAAAAUAAAUUUUGCAUAAACCGAUUAGAGGGGUCUAACUUGGUUUUGCAGGAUGUGCAUGUGAUGUGGUAUAGCAGUGCUCAUACUAAUUCGAUUAUGUAUGAGAUGACUAUAUGAUGUAAUUUGAUUAACAUGACCUGCGUGUCAUGAUUCGGCAUGAUGGCUGGAGCCAUAUGAUUGCACUUUAAUGACCUGCGUGUCAACCUUGUUGUAAUGCAUUAUUUUUUUAGCUAUAGAGAUAGCAAUAUUAUCUGGUGCAUCGACAAGGUGGCGGCAAUCUUCGCGAAGGUGAACACCGACGCGAAUGCCGAAGACGAAGAAAUGAAAUACUUCUCCGUCAGAAAGGGCUAUACCAUAUCAUGCUAUUAUGAAUUGCCUGAGAUGUUUAUCCCUUAUGAUGCACCCUUCUUGAUUGCGCGGUAGUCGCUUUUAUUAGGGUGAUCUCUCACUUAAAAUAUCAAGUAGUUAGUGUUCUCCCAAGUGUAGCACCGUCACGACACCUAUCUUUUCGGGGUGCGCCAUGGAUGCAUUGGUACGAACGAUUAGAGAAGUGUGAGGCGGGUGGGGUCAGACCUCGCAGCAAGAUCACUUGGUUGUCUUGACGUUCAUGGCAAGAUCGUCCUGAGCUCGGAACACACGCAUCGAAAGAUGAGCAAGAGUCACAUAGAGAUGUGAUCGGCAAGUUGGCCUACCAAUUAAAAUUCCCGUUAUGAGAUGAUGAUUCUAUGGCGAUGAAUUGAAGUCUGGAUCUUGUAUCACUCAAAAUUAAUUGUGAGAGAUAUUGAUUUGAGUGGGAGCACACUGUUGAAUCAACAUGUUUAAUUCUCAGUGCAAUUAAUUAUGAACACUGUCUAAGUGUUUCUUGCAUAAUAGUUGUAGAAUAAUGCCUCGCAUUUCCACCUUCCCUAUUAAAAUUGAAUAGCUGUUAAAUAUCUGGUUAAAACUUUAUGAUUGGUAACGUAAUAUGAGGAUUGUCCUCAAAAGUGCCGAGAAGGACUUUGUCCUAUCGCAUGCUUUCCGUAUCCUCCCGCUAAUGCUAUGGAUCAUGUGACUCUCGUCCUUCGGUCCAAAAGCUAGAAUUCUGUUACGGUCAAGUGGAAUAUGUUUGCUUCCAUGAAACCCAAACUUCGAAAGUUGGGAUAGUUAUAUGAUAUUCAUGGAACUGAAAAUUAUUUUCAGAUACAAACAAAGCAAUGUUUGUUUGCAAGUAUUAGUAAAAGUGUUUACUAUGCAUUUGACCGUUGGGAAAGGGAUCCAGCAGAACGCCUGUCAUAUAAUGAAAGGUGAAUAAAACAACAACUUAAAGAGAAAGGAAGUGUCCAAAGGGUGUUAGUAUGACUUACACGCCUAGGAAGUCCGGGGCUAAUGCCACUCUUAAGUUGGGUGCUUCUUCUGAGAGUAGGAGAAAUACUAAAAGUUAAACUGUUAGAAGUAUAAAGGCAAAAGGAAAGAAGACUGGAAUAUCCAGCUCAUGUAUGAAUGUCAUACAAGUUUUUGAUGUAUAGAAGGCUAGUCAAAGAUAUAGUUCUUGCGAAUUAUGGUUAAACAUGUUAAUCACUAAUUCUUGGGUAUUGUGAGUUCAUCACAAAAAUGCCCGCUCGAUUGCAUUCUGUUGCAACUCGAUGUAAGAACUACUAUGGCCUGAAAGACUAGCUAGAAAUGAGGUUAAGGUAUACACAGGGAACAUAGUAAAUGUUACUAUACCUUCCAUCGGUGUAUUGCCGUCUGUAUUUAUUUUCAUAAUUCAUUUAGAGUUUUACAAACUCUAUCCCAUUGCAUAAGGUAUCUUGCAAGAAGGUUGUUCAUAAGAGAACUUUGUAUGUUCGAUGUUAUGAAUAACACAAGGGCCAUACUUUCAUUAUGAAUGAGAUGUAUGUUAUGAAUAUUGAUAAUAAUACAAUACCUCUGGGUUUACUUUCAUAAUUCAUUUUAGAGUUUCAUACACUCUAGCCCAUUGCACAAUGUUUGUUGCAAAAGAGUUGUUCAUAAAAACAACAAUUGUUGUUAAGUAUUAUGAAUAACAUAAGGGCCAUACUUCCAUCAUCGAUGGGACGUAUGUUAUGAAUAUUGAGGGUAAUAUGAUACAUCCAUAACACUGACGCUAAAUGUCGCAAGACUAAAAGAAUACCACACAAGUGUGGCACUACAUUUGGUCACAUUGGAGAAACCCGCAUGGAAAAUUCCAUUAUGAUGGAUUUUGAAGUCUUUUUGAUUUUGAAUCAUCUGACACUUGCAACUUUCCUCCGAAAAGUGAAGUGACUAAAAUACCGUUCACAGGCCAUAAGGAACGAACAACAAACUUAUUAGUGAUCAUACAUUUGAUGUGUGUAGUCCGAUAAGUGUUGUUAGUGGUGGAUUUAUUUAUCUUCAGAAAUGACUCAAGUAGAUAUAUGGAUAUUUACUUGAUGAGACGUAAGUCUGGAUAUUUUGAAAUCAUUCGAAAGGUUCUCAAAAAUGAAGUAGAAGUUAUUGUAACAAGAAAAUUAUGUUUCUGCAAUUUGAUUGCACAAAGGAAUAUUUGAGUUACAUGUUUAGCGAAUGUCUGAUGAGUUGUGAAAGGGGUUUCAUAACUUGCACCUCCCGGAACACCACUGCAAGUGGAAAGUCCGUGGAGAUGUAAUCAAACCAUUUAUGACAUGGUAAGGUCAAAGAUGACAUAAAUAAAUUUGCCAUUAUCCCUUUUAAAGUGAUGCUUUAGAGACUGCGGCUUUUACACUGAAAAGAGUUACAUCGGGUGUGUUGAAAUGAAGCCAUGAUAUGGUAUGCCCAACCAUCUUAUAUCUUUUCUUAACAUUUGGAAUAUGGGGCUUGUGAAAAGGUUACAAACCUAUUCCAAAUCAGACAAGUGCUACUUUGUAGGUUAUACCAAAAUGUUGGGUAUUCCUCCCUCACUAUACCAAGGCAAAUACUUUUGCCGCGAAACGGUGUGCUUUUAAAGAGAAUGGUUCUUUCAAAAAGGUGAGUGGGAGAAUAGUGCAACUCGACGAGAUAAACAGUAUCUACGUCAUCAGAUCAAAGGAAAGAGACCUUGGAAGUAAUUCCAGAGUUUCCUACUGCGACUGAUACGGAAGUCUCUACAAUAAAAUGUAUGAACUUCGGUCGAACUUGCAGCUGAACCACGUAGGCAAGGCUCGUGCAAACCUCUCAGGUGCGCAAACGAGAUAUUGUUGUUAGACAACAUUAUACCUACGAUACACAAGGAAGCGUUGAUGGGCCCUGACUCCGGAAUUGGCUAAAUGCCAAUACAACCCGAGUUAGUUUCCAUAUAAGUGAUUCAAGAUUAAAACCUUGAUACACCUUUCGGAAGACUUAGAAUCUAAUGAAUAUUUAUGGAACUUAAAACUGAUACGGAUAAAAUGUUUUAUCCAUAAAGCUCAACUUGUUGAAAUAACAAGUUCAAGAGUUGACUACGAUGAGGUUGUUUUCAUCAUAGUGAUGCUUAAAGUCGGUUCGGGUUGAACUAGCAAUUAAUACAUAUUUCAAUCAUGAGAUAUGAAACAUGGAUGAUAAAAGGAUUUCCAUCUGAUGGAAAUGAAAGCUAGGACUUGUAUAUGAUACAGUCCAAAGGAAUUUGUCGAUCCAGAGGAUGCUAGUAGGUAUGCAAACUUCAGAGUUCCAGCAAUGGACAGAAGAGAGCAAAAUGGAGUUGGAAUCUUCGUGUUUUGAUGAAAUGGUCAAAGGGGUUUUGACUUCAUCAAUGGGUAACGAAGAUGCUUGUAAUUCAAGAAAGUAAGUGGGAGCGUAAUAAUAUUUCUAAAAACCUUAUGUGCUUGGCACAUUGGUAAUUGGAAAUAAAUUUCUUGACACAAAUUAGGUCUUCAUUUGAAAAUAGUUUUUCGAUGAAGUGCUUAGGCUAAAUAGCCUCAAUAUUAGGCAUGAUGAUCUAUGGAGAUAGAUUUACCUAAUGGGGCUAAGCAAUGAAUACAUAUUGACAAGAUGCUAAAACCUUUUAGCAUUUAAAACGCCAAGGAGUGAUUCUUGCCAAAGUCACAUGGAAAGAGUUUUUGCAAGACUCGGUGUCCCAAAACAGUGAUGAGUAAAAUAUAUGAUGCAGAUUCCACACACUUUUGUGUUUGGAUUAAUCAUGUAUUCCAUGGUAUGUAAAACAACCAGAUAUGUACGAUACUCCCAAGGUGUUGCGAGUAUGGAUACCAAAGUGAUCAAAUUACUGAUCAUGGGACAACAUUGAAAGAUGUCACAGAGUACUAGAGUAAGUACUGAUGACAUGGUUUUCUCGCAAGCAGAGAGCAUGAAGAGUUCGUUGUAAAAUGUUACAUCGAUACAGUCUUCAUCUUUUCUCCAUGCGAUUUUCGAUUUAAAUUAAGGGUUUUGUGUAACACACAAUGUGGUGGCACCGUUAGUUGGAAUUUGUUCAAACUAGUUACUGUGGCGAAUUCUAUAACAAGGGCUAAGUAUGUUGACGCUUUAGAAGCGACAAAGAAGAUGUUGAAUCAUAUAGUUCAUUCAUGAACUUAGUAUAGUUCCAAGAUGGCUUUUGACAAUGGGACACUACUGCAGGUAGUUGCUCCAUAACUCAGUCUGAGGAAUCCAGGUUCGACCUGUGAUUCACAUACAUACAAAGCCAAGUCCACACAAAAUAUGAAUUUUGUGAAUGUGAAAACGCGAGGACAUGCAAAGAUACACACGGAACUGAAAUCGUCAGAUCCGUUGGACAUCAGGCUAUACCACAAGCGAAGCAUAUUUACACCGGUGUGCCACAGGUGUGAAGUGCAUUAGCAUAAGCUAGAUUAUUGUCUCUAGUGCAAGUGGGAGUCUGUAGGAGAUAUGCCCUAGAGGCAAUAAUAAAUGUUAUUGAUUAUCUCCCUGUUCAUAAUUAUGUUUAUGUUCCAUGCUAUAACUGCUGUGGUUCCCGAGCCCGUAUAUCCAUAAAGGCUCUGGGGAGAACCCAUAUGCACGUGUGGAAUAAUAAACGGUAAAAUGUAUUCCUAGUCGUGCCUCUAAGACUAGCUCAAGUGUUGCAUGAUGAUUAUGUUUUCCCAAUCAUGGGCAUGUCUAUGCCAAGAAACUUUGAGGGCACAAUGUCAGGAAGGACAUUUGUGUUGAAUCGACCCGAAUUGAUGCUAUGCUAUGAGAUACAUUCGUCACAAGUUAAUGGUUUAUAACACAGAGAUAGUUAAUGUUUGCAUAAUUCCUUAGACCAUGAGAGUAUCGAGUUUCUUCAUGCUUGCUUCAUGAACUUUGGGGUUUGUUAAACGUCAUCCGUAACUGGAUGGCUAUUACGGCGGCUUACGGGUUCAUGGGAAAGUAUGUUAAGUAACUUGAUAGCUCGAGAUUGGGAUUUGCUCCUCCGACGAUGGAGAGAUAUACUCAGGCCCACUCGGUGUUACGGUGUCCAUCAUCGUCUGGCCAGACACUUUGUGAUUUGAUCACGGGGAUGCCGGAACACGAAACGAGAAAAGAGAACAAAACCGGUAACGAGGUAACUUGCAUAGUGGACAAAGUGUUGGCCCACGGGGAUGCAAUAAAUCUCACCUCAGGUGUUUGUGAUAUAUCGUGAAGCAACAGGAAUAGCUCACCUCAACUGGAGGUUCACUCGAAUAUUCAUUCGUGUGGGUAUAGGGGUCAAUAUGGGUGUCCACGGCUCCGAUGUUGAUCAUUGAUCGGAAGGGGUUCCAGGUCAUGUCUAUACUUCACCGAACCUAUAGGGUCACACGCUUAAGGGUCAUCUAUCUGCUGAAUACUAGACAGGGAGUCUGAGAGAAAAUCACCAAAAAAGUUUCGGACACCGAAAAGUUUCGGACAGCGGAAUCAUACCGCAGAGAGAGGUCACCGGAUGAGUUUCGGUGAAACCGAAAAAGUUGUUUCGGGGUAUGCCAUUAAGUCAAAAUGGUUUCGGCACAUGCCUGAUAAUUCUUGGAGGCUGCCAGAAUCAUUCUGGAAACUUUUUGGAAUUUUCAGAAAUAAAAACCGAAAAUGUUUCGGAGCUGCCGGUACCGCUUUGGCUGUUUUUCGCAGAUGAAAUUAACUAAUCUGAAAUUGUUUCAUAACGAAUCCAAAAUCAUUUUAGUGGGUACUGGAAUUAUUCUAAGACCCACAGAAAUAUUUUCGGAUUUAGUGGACGCGAAAAAUUGUCUUCAUGAAUAGUGAAAACGCAUUCUUGUUUGCUUUUCGCAGAUGAAAAUCACUAAACCGAAAUUGUUUCGGAACGCGUUGAAAAUUAUUUUAGUGGGUACUGGAAAUGUUCUGAGCCCACAUAAAUAUUUUCAGUUCGAACGGACGCUGAAAAAUGUCGUCAUGAAUAGUGAAAGUGCUUUUUGCUUGGCUUCUUGGAGAAGCCACCUUGAGGGCCUUUUUGCUAUUUCCCCCCUUGGCUUCUUGGAGAAGCCACCCUUAGGCUUGGCCUAUAAAUAGGGGUGGAGGGGGCUGCCUAAAGGAUCAUCCCUUCUCACAUACAAGUGCCAUGCAUGAUCUGGCUUCUCUCUCCCUUCCCGCGAAAUAGUUUCGUAGAGCCGAAAGGCUGUCUGGGUUCCGGCAGGAACUAGUUCUGGACGGCGAACCCUGCCGGAUAGAUGACACCGUAUGUGUGCAACUCUGUAGAGAGAUCGUAGUUUCGGUCUUAGUUCGCGAUUGCCUCCCGAAGCGCUGUCCAUGUGACCGUCCGAGUUUCGAAGGUCCUCCCGAAGGGCUGUCCGAGUGACCGUUCAAGUUUCGAAGGUCCUCCCGAAGGGCUUUCCGCGACACCGUCCGGGGGGCUGUUCGACCGGCUCCCGGAGGGCUGUCUGAGGAGCAGAUGAGGGUAUACAUCCUCGCGGUUGGGAGGUUGUAAAUCCUAGCUGCGGGGAUCUGCACCACCGAUCGUCAUCGACUCUACUUCCCGCUGCGCUACGAGUCGGUAACGAAAAAGAUCAAACCAUGUAUGCAGUCUCCAUAGUGGUCCUGGGCUGGUGCGUAGGUCGGAAAUUUUUUGUUUUCUGCUGCGUUACCCUACACAUCCGCACCGGCGCGGUGGCCUGCAGUCCCUGCACCCAGCAUAAGCUCUGAGACCUGGGAAAGACGCAAGAUCAGAUGUUCCGCACAACCUGAACAUGUGAGCUAUGAUAUUUCUCCCGACAUGUGUGUUGCUUCCGCUGGAUGAUGCUCUGUUGCCUUCCUAGCUGUCGUCAUCUUUCCUUCUCUUGCUGCUCGAUGAAGUUGGUCGUGAUGCUAGCUUUGCAUGUUAAUUUGACAGUCCCUAAAUUUAUAUCGGUCUACACACGUGUUUGUACCAAUGUUCAAGACCUGGCUGAUGAUAUAGUUUUAACUUAUAUUGAUCUGAUUAUGUAUACCUUUGGGGGGGGGGUAUAUGUAUGUAAGUAUACAUUAUUAAGUACUGGGGAAAAGAGGGGGAUGUAUUGUACCUCUAUGGAACAUCGUCUUUUAGCUGAAUCUAUAUGUUUAUUCAAUCUGAACUUGGAUGUUUUAUUUGGCUUGUACUCCCCCUGUAAAGAAAUAUAUGAUCGCUUAGAUCACCAAACUACCUUGUGAUUUCCUAUGCUGCAAACUGUAAUUAGUUUUCUUUAGCUUCAGACUUUGGUACUAUAGUUGGCUAAUGGCUAAUGCACUUAAUUGGGAUCAUUUCUGGUCUGAUAAUAAAUGCAUGUAUGUCUAAUUUGGAUCUUAACUAGAGCACCAACGUAUGCUUCUAACACCUCUGUGAAAAAUUAUCGCAACUGAAGUAUUGGACGCAUCUAUAUAUGGACAUCAUGCUAGCUUACUCCUUUGGUACAUACACAUGACAACUGAGAUUGGAACCCCCUUUUGUAGUGAUAAUCACCGUAAUCUGCAAUUGAUUCAGCAUCACUUGGGAAAAUAAGUGGGGAUAUUGUCAUAAAAAAUAUUCCAAUUUUGUGGAGCUUGACUAGCUGGGAUCAAUUCUUCCAUUCCACAGUCUGCUUUGUUACGAAGCAAUAACCCAUGUCUCCACAUGCUGCAGUUUCAGUUUCCUUGGAUGUUGCAAUGUAUAGUUCAAAACUUCAUCUGUGGAUUUGGUUUGGAUCACAAAGAAUUGGUAGACAUUUUUGCUAAUUUACUAGGCCCUUUGCAGCAGCAGAUUCCUUUUAAUGUAGAUAUGCCAUGCUUACAGUUUGACAUGAAUACUUCGUGUUGUGCUUCUUAGCUCUAAUAGUACUUUGUGUUUACUUAUACUAGCGGGCUGGGUCACUACUGGGAAAGGGAUUAUUGGUGAACCCUAAGGAGUGGCGGGCAUAGUGGGUAACCCGCCACAACUAUUUUUGAAAACAAGCAGUGGCGGGUAGCAAACACUGUCCGCCACAGCUAGAAGCUCACUUAGGAAAGGGGUUUGAAGAAAAUAUGUUGUCUGUGCAUUGUUUGCGAGAAUGAUGUUAUAUAAACAAUUGAAUUGGGAGAGUUGCAUAAGCACUUGUUGGCUGGUGGUUUCAUGCCCGGUUAUACGAUAUGGACAAGUCAUGGUGAGGAUGGGAUGUCAUGUGAAGGAGCGGAACAUGACGAGGAACAAGAAUGGAUGAUGGAUGGACAUGAUGAACAAUCUGACGGUGAUGAAUACGACGAGUCCGGUGAAGAGUCCGAUGAAAGUGAGGAGGCCGAAAUGGAGGAGGCAAUCAUCUAGGGCAAAUUGGCGGGAAUGGUGCACGAUGAACACAUGCAGGAGUUGAUCAUGAAAGAGACUAGCACCGAGGUAGCUUCUUGUAGAGAGGCUACCAAGCUGGCGACUCUUGUGAAGGACUUAACAGCCACUUUGUACGGUGGUUGCAAGGCAAAACACAAACGACUAAGUGUCACGAUGAAUCUUAUGGACAUUAAGGCAAAAAAAAUAGCACAGACACUUCCGUUGAUAUGAAUUUGAAGUAUUUGCAUGAUGUUCUUCCUAAAGGCAACGUGUUGCCAAAAAGUAUUGAUGAGGCAAGGAAGUUAUUGUGUCCUCUUGACAUGGAGCCGGUAAAGUACCAUACAUGCAAAAAUGACUGCGUAAUUUACCGGAACGAGUACUCCAACCUAAUAAGGUGUCCAACAUGCAAUUUUCCACGAUUCAGGCGGGGAAACAACAGUUGGGAAGACAAUGUUGAUCGUAGAGCACCCGCUAGCGGUACUCCUUAUAAGUUUGUAUCGUACUUUCCAAUCAUUCAACGCCUGAAGCGUUUGUAUGAAAACAAGAAGCAGGCAAAACUUAUGCUUUGGCAUUCUAAGAGGAAUAAGUAUGAUAGAGUGAUUAAACACGUUGCAGAUGGUCGGCAGUGGAAAGCAACCGAUGACGAGUUCCCUCAUUUCAGUGGAGAUGAUAGGAAUGUCAUGCUGGGCUAUAGUGUGGAUGGUCUGAAUCCCUUUAGUAACCAAAACAGCGCGCACAACACCUGGCCCAUGGUUGUCUGCAUCUACAACCUCCCCCCAUGGGUGUGCACGAAGAUAAAGUAUCUACACAUGGUCAUGCUAAUUCAACGGCCAAGCCAACCGAGUAGUGAUUUGAACUUGUAUCUGCAACUACUGAAGGAGGAGUUAGAAACUUUAUGGACAGAUGAGGGGGUGCGUACAUAUGUCGCUAAAACGGGUACGUAUUUCCUAUGAAAGUUGUGCUGCUCACGAUGGUGGAAGACUAUCCGGCAUACGGUUAUAAUUCGGGUCAAGUUUGUCACGAGAAGUGUGCAUGUGUUAGGUGCAUGGAUGAAACUCAUUCUCUAUAUCUGAAGGCCUCUCAUAAAACAGUUUACAUGAAGUAUAAGUCAUUGAAAAGAAACAUUUUGACAGAUUUAAUUUCCAGGCUUCUAAUUUUUUUUGCGGGAAACUUCGAGCUUUAUUCAACUAUACUCUGUUCCCGCACGAUCACCCAAAACGCUGGUCAUGAGGAAGCCAGGGGAAGUCCAUCCAGCAGUCGGUAAUCCCCAGGGUGCAAGCAUGCUUAGCACACAAGUGGGCCGACAUAUUGGAGUUUCUCGAUACAUGUUGAACAUCAAAAGAAAGAAAAGAUAAGGCUAGCUCUUCUAUUUCUAGUAAUAGCGGCGCUACGAUGGAGCGCGAAAACCGUCGUGAGUGCCAUAGCUGAACCAAUUCUAAGCAAUCUGUUUCCAUGAGCACUUGCGAAAAGCCUUGAAGCUGUGCGAAAAUCACCCCAUCUCGCAGAGCAGACGCCUCUGCUAUUAAAGGGUCCGUGAUGUGGGGGUAAGGUUUGCUCCAGGCGGCCAUGAAGGUCGAGGAAGUUCGUGCCACUCCUCCAUCUCCACUCCUAUGUUCAAGCACUGAAACACUAGCAUCUGUGUUUACCUUUACCCAGCCUUGAUCAGGUGGCCUCCAGCCAUAGCCAGGUAAAACCUUCGUCUGUUCCAAGGGGAGCUCCAGCAAGGCAAGAGCUUCUCUUAUACGUUUGAGAGAUUGCGCCGGAUUCAUACUUGCUCUGUCAUGCGUUAUAUUAUUGCGAGAGGUCCAAAUAGCCCACAUGACAGCGACAAUUUUCGCCCGACCACUCUCUGAAAACCGGGAGUCGCAAAGAAUAUCCCUGCACCAAGUCAUAGGAUGUAACUCUGGUAGCUUGACCUGCAGCCAAUUUCGAGCUUCUAUCCAGAAAGUUUGAGCAUGUGAACACUUGAUCAAUGCGUGCAUCAAAUCUUUAUCAGCUCCCAUGCACACCUUGCAACGUGCUAAGGUUGCAAUAUGCCUGUACUGUAGUGUGCUCUCCACCGGAAGGAUGCCACAGAGGACCCUCCAUAAGAACACACGCACCUUAGGUAGCACUUUAAGCUUCCAAAGUCGAGUCCAUAACUGCUUAUUAUUCUCUCAUGAUUCUGUAAUCGCCCCUUCCUUUAGUGUUGAAUGCUCGUUAUAAGUCAUUAGAGCACGAUACGCUGACUUCACAGUAUAGGAACCCGAUCUCUCAUGAUCCCAAGACCAAUAAUCAUCACCACCUCCUUGUCUAAGGGGAAUAUUCAAAAUAGUAUCAGCAUCCGGUGGUAUAAAAUUCUCUCAAACAAGGCCAGCUUUCCAGGACCAAGUCACAUCAUCGAUCAGGUCUGAAACUAGAUUGAUAGGUGCUGAACCGAUCUGUGAAGUGGGCCGCAAAGAAAGCUUGCCUGGCAGCCAUCCAUCCUGCCACACGCAGUGGACGAGCCAUUGCCAAUCCGCUUUAUCAGGCCAAUAUCCAGUGCCGCCCUCCCGGUAACGAUCGCUCGCCAGGUAGCCGAGGCGUUACUAGGAACAGUAGCAUGCAUGAAAUCCGUGUUGGGGAAGUAACUACCUUUUAACACCCGAGAGCAUAAUGAAUUCGGACCGGUGAUAAGCCUCCAGCCAUGUCUCCCUAACAAAGCAAUAUUGAAGCAUUCCAAAUCACGGAAUCCCAUUCCUUCUCUGAUUUUUGGAAGUGACAAGGACUUCCAAUCUAUCCAAUGUAGAGACCUUCGAUCUAUAGAACUGCUCCACCAGAACUUUGCCAUCGGUGAGGAGAUGUUUUUGUACACUUUUUUUCGUGAGUUUAAAGCAACUCAUAGUGUAUGUUGGCACCGCCUGUGCUCUUGCCUUGGUGAGCACUUCCCUCGCCGCGCAAGACACCAAUCUUUCUGUACCCCCAUUCAACUUUGACCUCACCCUUUCUCCAACGAAAUCAAAGGUGUCUGAGGUGAUCUGUCCAACUGCCGUGGGGAGGCCCAAAUAUCUCUCAUUGAACGCCUCAACUGAAAUACCCAUCGCAGUUUUAACCAUUGCUCGUACUGGACUAGGAGUGUUUGGACAAAAAAAUAUGGAGCUCUUCUCUUUGUUAACACACUGUCCCGAACACUCACCAUAAAUCCUGAGAAUGUUGUUUAAACGCUCUGCACUCUCCAGUUUAGCUUGCAUGAAGGUAAGACUAUCACCUGCAAACAGUAGAUGAUUAAUCCACGGUGACUAGGUGUACACUUGAAUCCCCUUGUCUGCAUACACUCCACCAUAUCUAUUUAAGAGUGUUGUGAAGCCCUCGGCACACAGAAGGAAUAGAUAAGGUGACAUGGGACAUCCUUGCCUGAAUCCCCUAGAAGGGGUGAAGAACGGCAACAACUCCCCAUUCACUCGAACCGCAAACCGCACUGAUGUUACACAUUUCAUAAUCAGUCGGAUAGAGAAUGAGCCGAAGCCCAACUUGGUCAUAAUCGCAUGAAGAUAAUGCCCAACUCCAGGCUUCUAAAUAUAGAGAUUUUUGUAUGCACUAUAUACGGAUGAUUUAUUGUACAAUAUACGACACGUACGUACAUUUUAGGGCCAUCUUAAAGGAGCUCUUCUUACCCUCAGCUACUGGACCUCCUCACUCGGUUAUGAUCUACGAUGACCCUCAUCAGGUGUACUACUAUUUAUAAUUCAUCUGAGUUUCUAUUCUUGUAUGGGUACCUAGAUGACCUGGCCUAUGUUCCUUAGCUCCACAAUCUCAGCGACUGAUAUAUCUUGAUAUUUACUUAUCAGACGUAACGUUAAUUACUGGCAUCAAUGUCUCCUGCUAACACAAGUCGAUGUGCAUGUACAUGAAUCAAAACAAGUAACAAACAAGUAAACCCAAUUGUAUAGAGCCAACAUAGCACCACAAAGGACCACCUCAGUAGGCACAAUCCUGCACCCCAACCCCUAGUACCUUAUAGCAAAUCUACUAGUCAUCAUAUUGGGAAAAUUCUAGCAAAAAAGGCUCUCUAGCAGAGUUGCCAUAUCUAGCAAAAUUGACAUGAUUUUGUAGAGCAUCCUCCAUAUUCGGCCUCCGAGCCCCAUAUUUGGAGUCUUGGGCUACCUUUUGGAAGACACUCCAUAUGGCUGUUCUGUGUGGCGGGAACAAAACCUCACAUGAUCCGUCACCUCACAUGGGAUCGAUAUUUUAAUUGGAGGAAAAUUGUAUUCCAUUGGCAUAUGGGUCCCUUGAUUAUGAAGGCCACAUUAUGGCGACUAUGUGUUUACGCACAACCUCGGUGGACUCCAUAAUUUAUAUGGAGCGCACACCAUAUGAAUACUGAGGCUCCCAAUAUGGCGACUCUGCUAGAGUUGCUCGCAGGAGGCAUGUAGUCUUGCCCACAAAUGAUCGCUAGGUUCAAGGAACGCAUCUGCUCGUCCAUGUUGCAUUCAGCCCGUAAAAUAAUCUCAAGUAAAACUUCUCGUUCCCCGCAUGACAGGACCCACACACUAGGAUUACACAUCGCGCGCCUCAGUCAUAAAAUGUCUCCCUAUACCCGUUGUUCCUUUUCUCCUGGAGACCAUGGCGAUCAUAGAACGCACCACGUGCGAUGUUACCGGGAGUGCUUCCCCAAUACCGACCAUUGGCGACCAUGGAGGACCAUCGUCGUACCCUCGCGAUUAUUGGGUCACCGUCGAGAUCCAUUAGUCGCUGGGAUCCAGUCCUACUGAUCUUCACCGCCGGUCGGAGCUUGCCAGAUGCUCCAUCUUCCGAUGUUCACCACCUCGUUCUCCGCCACCUUCCUCUUCCCUACAGUUUGUAGUCUGCUAAUUGAUGUCUGUGAUGAUCGACUCCAAGAGCAUUUUGGGUUGACCGGACCUCUCCUCCAUUGUUGACAAUGGGUUGCAUGGAAGGUUUUGAAUGCGUUGUUGUGCGCGCUCACAAUAGAUCCAACCCUGCCAGGGAUUUCAAGUGGUCUCUCCGGAGUAAGUCUAACCCAUUGGGUGGAUGUUAAGGUUUUGGUAAUAGGGUUUAGAGUGGAUUGAGUGUAAAAUUUCUAGGCAUUAUGGUAACUAUGAUACUAGUUUGUGACGACCCAAUAGGAAGGGAUCGCAGUCACACAACUGGAUUGCUAGGGAGGCAAAUGGUGAAGUUGGGGAAGAAAAUGUUGAGGAUUCAUAGAGAAUUUGAGAUGAGAACUACAAUGCGCAUUCCAUCUUUGUCCUCGUUCACCAUUGUGUUCAGCUUGAGUAACACACACCAACUCACACGGGUUAGGCCACAUUCGACGCCAACACUACACAACCCAUAGCCCGAAUCUUACUCCACUAUAUCGUUACUGGAUGCAUGUGUCGCAUACUGUAUGUUGAUGGAACGGAAGAGCAAAGAGAAGAUCUAGACCAUCUUCCACGCUACGCCGUUGGAAGCAAUGGACCAGACUAUGGACUACAGAUAUUCCUCCAAAAAUAUGUAACUUCGCCUCGAGGCUGGCAAAGCGUACCGCCAAAGUUAUUACAACCGGAUUAUAUCUCUCUCUGCACUUGGGUCUCUCUCUUCGCAUUAACGCGUUGAACGGCGGCGUAGUUCGCUUGACGGUGGAGCUACAGUGGGGCUGUGAGGUGUUCCCGGAUCCGUCCAAUGCCGUCAGCGGCGUCCUAUCUAGGCCCACUCCCUGUUAAACUCCUCGCUCCGGUACACCGACGCCAGAAUCUUGGCCUUCUUUGGCCCGACGGGAUGCGCCCCCCUCCUCUUCUCUGACAGUACAGCUCCCGCCCUGGCAUCGUUUCCCGCUGCCGCACGCAGUGGAGCCCGACGACGAAUAGGCGGAGAGCAGACGAGAAAGGGGCAACCAGGGCUACUGCCACGACGUACUCCUCGUAGGCGCCAUUGUCUCCAUUGUGCCCAACGCUAUGCUGCCCCCGGGGGCCUCCUUCUCUGACGUAUCCAAGGCGACCCCAACUUCGCCCACGCUUGCCAAUCGGCGCUCUGCUCCACACCGACCACCUCCUUCCACGCCCGCUUCUCCGACGCCACCGCACAAACGCACACGCCCCACGGGCUGCUCCCAUCCAUGGCCUUCUCCAGCUCCCGGUGCGUGCUGGUGCAGAGCCAGUGGGGAAGCACAUCGUCGAGCUGAGCGGGGCUGGAUGCCCUGCUUGUGUCGCCCCUCUCGAGACACCGGACAACCUGAUCUUUGGGUGCCCGUUUGCGCACGAGUUCUGGGCUGCGCUGCGCCUGGGCAGCUCUGGACGCUCCGUGCGAGAACUGCAUCUCUUCGACGUGAGUAAAUUGCUCAAAGCCAUCACAUUUGUUGCUAGAAUACUGCAAAACUACCGCUUUUGCCAAAAAUUACGAAAAACCAUCACUUUUAUGGCAAGUGAGUAACAAUUUCCACUAAUUCAAAACUGAACCGCAACUAAACACAAAACUGACCGAUCGGACCCACAUGUCAGACCGACGUGGCAUAUCUACAUAGACAAUACGCUGAGGUGGCAAGAGUCUCACAUGUCAGCCCCUCACCUUAUUUUUCUCUCUCUUAUUUUCCUCUGGUUCUUCUCUCUCUCAAACUUCCCUCUCCCUGUCCCGUGUGCACGACCCCAUGCCAUGGAGCUUCGCCGUUGCCGGCACACCGCCGGACUCCAGAUCCGACCGGAAUCGGUCUCCCGCCUCCAGAUCUGACCUCUGCCGCUGUUUCCCGUCCGAAACGGGGCCCAACCACCGCCGCCGAUUGGACUGAAACCCCACUGCUGCAGGGACCCUACAUCGCCGCCGUCGUCGAUUCACUAUUGGUCGGCCGCGACGGGAGCAUAUGGCGUCGAGGAGCCACUCCACCAGGGCUCGUGGCUGGCCAUGACCGCGUCCGCCGCCUCGCGGUUGGGCACGGCUGCGUCCGCCGCCGCCUUGUCAGAGCGGACUGGGGCGCGGGCACACGCCAGCUCGGCCUCGCCGGAGCAGGCAGGGGGGUGGGCGCGCCGCGAGGAGUAGGCAGGGGCGCGGGAGCGCGCGCGACGUGGAGCAGGCAGGGGACGGGCAUGCGGUGCUCAGCCUCGCCGGAGCAGGCAGGGGGCGGGUGCGCGGCGAGGAGCAGGCUGGGGGCGGGAGCACGCGACGAGGAGCAGGCAGGGGACGGGCGCGUGGCGAGGAAAAGGCAGGGGGCGGGAGCGCACGCGACGAGGAUCAGGUAGGGGGGCAGGCAUGCGGCAGCUCGGCCUUGCCGGAGCAGGCUCGCCGGAGCAGGAAGGAAGGACAUGAGAGAGAGAGAGAGGAGAUAAGAGGUGUGGCAGACAAGUGGGAUCCAUGUCCACCUCAGCGGGUCAAACAUUGGCUAGGACUAGUCUUUGCUACAUCAGCCCAGACAUGUGGAUCCACUAGUAGAAAACUGGGCUUUGGUCACAGGGCAAUAUUCACAUUAGUCCCGGUUCAGUCACGAACCGGGACUAAUGUGAGCAUUGGUCCCGGUUCGUGCAGCCAGGGGCCUGCCGGGCCUCGUGGGGGCAUUGGUCCCGGUUCGUUCGGACCCUUUGGUCCCGGUUGGUGGGACAAACCGGGACCAAUGGGCCACGCUCCUGGCCCACCACCCUUUAGUCCCGGUUCAUACCACAAACCGGGACUAAAGGGCUGGUCCUAGUUGCGGCCAGUGUUUAGUCCCACCUCGCCAACCGAAGCGCGCUCACACCAGUUUAUAAGCCCGUCCCUCUCUGCCUUGUUGAGCUCCUCUUAAAAUGAAAAUAGAUGCCCUUAUACCGGGAAUUUGACCUAAAUUCACAGUAAAUUUCAUAGAAAUUUAUUAUGAAUUUAGGUUGAAUUUCCUCUAUAAGCUCAUCUAUGUUCAUUUUUUAUAGUAAAUAAAAUAAAUAAACCUUAAUAAAAUAAAUAAAAAUAAUAAACCUUAAUAAAAUAAAAUAAAAUAAACUAUAGUAACUAAAAUAUAUAAACCUUAAUAAAUUAAAUAAAAAUAGCAGCAGUAAAAUAAAUAAAAAUAGCAGCAGUAAAAUAAAUAAAAAUAAAAUAAUUAAAGUAAAAUACAUAAGUAAUUAGAAAUAAAAUAAAUAAGUUUUUUGUUGUAAGUAGAAACAAAACAAAACAAAUAAAGCAAAAGAGAAAACGAAAAACAGAGGAAAAAAAUUAUGCCACCUACUAGGCCACCACGGCCUGAAUACGACUUGAAACCCAUCCGUGGGCCAGGAUUCAGGCCCGCAGAAGGCCCAGUAGGCCCCACAGGCAAAGUGAACGGUUAGGCCCGAAAGCCUGCAGUUGAGAGGAGCUCGAGAGGGUGGGCGCAGCAGCGCUUAUAAACCACUCUCGAGCCCUCUCAACUAGCGAGGUGGGACUAAACUUUUGACGCGGGGCAGCACAAGGCCUUUGAUCCCGGUUGGUGCCACCAACCCGGACUAAAGGGGGCAUUGGUCCCGGUUUGUGGCACCAACCGGGACCAAAGGCCUUUAUUCCCGGUUGGUGCCACGAACCGGGACCAAAGAGUUCCCUAUAUAUACCCCAUCGCCACAGCAAAGCACUCCACAGUGCUCUGUUUUUUCUGGCCGACGAGGGAGGGCAUUUGGGUGCACUAGCUCACCUCCUAUGCACAUGAGGUGUUUGAUGAAAUGUCUGAGCCACACUAGUUAAUCUUUCUCCUCUCGAAACUCGACCUCCGAGCUCCAUUUUCCCCGAGAUUUGUCUAGGUUUAGCGGUCCGUCACGUCCCGUCCCCGUCUUCACCGCCGUCGAUCGCCAGCGCCGAUCUCGUCGCCAGCACCACCGUGGUGAGCCUCUUGUUCUUAUCUUCUUUCUGAAAGGAAAAAAAAUUCUUACUUUAGAUAGUUACUUGUCUAAUUUUGUUACUUUUAUUAUUCCUUCUUAUUACAUAGUACGAUGGUUUUGGUAUCCGCCCCCGUCGGCCCUCGUCCUGUCUAUGAUUCGGAUGUGGUAUAUAUUAUCUUUUUAUAACUAUUUGGUUCAUUUAUUGUUUAUGACAAAUAUACCGACCAACGUGACAUAGAUUUUAUUUAUCUAGGAGGUGGUUGAACCGGAAAUUCUAACCGACCCUAUUGUCGAGAGGUUAAAUUUAGUUGAAGAAGAAAACAAUUACUUGAAGGAAAAAAUAAAAAAAAUUGAGGAGGAGAAGAUGAUAUUGGAGUUGCAUGUUGCGGAUGUCGUCGAUGAUCACAAGAUCAAGAUGGAUGCAAUGCGCUUGAAGAUUAGAAAGAUUAGAAAAUGUGCCAUUCAUACCGAGGCUUGUUAUCAUUAUGCCGUUGGAUCAAUUGUUACCUUGGUUGCGAUUAUGAUCGCAUUUGUUUUCGCAUUGAAAUGUUUUACAUAGUUUCAAUGUAUGGUUUAAUUAAUUAGAUGCUCUGGAGAGCUAUAUAUAUGUUGUUAGAUGAGAACUAUGUAUGUACUUUGGUUUUAAUGUGAUGAUGAACUUCUAUUAAUUUGGUCACUUAAUUAUCUAUUCAUGAUGUUCUGUAAUGGUUUUUGACACACUUAAUUAUAUAUAAUGCACGCAGAUGAACCGGCAAUGGAUGUACGGUGACAGACACACCUCCGAGUACAUUAAGGGCGUGCAUGAUUUUCUCAAAGUGGCUAAGGCAAACAAGCAAAAUGGUUUUAUGUGUUGUCCAUGCCCUAUAUGUGGGAAUACGAAGUCUUACUCUGACCGGAAAAUCCUUCACACCCACCUGCUUUACAAGGGUUUCAUGCCACACUAUAAUGUUUGGACGAGGCACGGAGAAAUAGGGGUUAUGAUGGAAGACGGCGAAGAAGAAGAGGACGAUGACAACUAUGUGCCCCCUGAAUACGGUGAUGCUGCAACGGGGGAAGCUGCUGAAGAUCAAAAGGAACCAGACGAUGUGCCCAAUGAUGCUGCAAGGGGGAAAGUUGCUGAAGAUCAAGAGGAACCAGUGCCCGAUGAUGAUGAUCUCCGCCGGGUCAUUGUCGAUGCAAGGACGCAAUGCGAAAGUCAAAAGGAGAAGCUGAAGUUCGAUCGCAUGUUAGAGGAUCACAAAAAAGGGUUGUACCCCAAUUGCGAAUAUGGCAACAUAAAGCUCGGAACCGUACUGGAAUUGCUGCAGUGGAAGGCAAAGAAUGCUGUGCCUGGCAAAGGAUUUGAGAAGCUAUUGAAAAUAUUGAAGAAGAAGCUUCCAAAGGAUAACGAAUUGCCCGACAGUACAUACGCAGCAAAGAAGGUCGUAUGCCCUCUAGGAUUGGAGGUGCAGAAGAUACAUGCAUGCCCUAAUGACUGCAUCCUCUACCGCGGUGCGUACAAGGAUCUGAACGCAUGCCCGGUAUGCGGUGCAUUGUGGUAUAAGAUCAGACGAGAUGACCCUGGUGAUGUUGACGGCGAGCCCCCUAGGAAGAGGGUUCCUGCGAAGGUGAUGUGGUAUGCUUCUAUAAUACCACGGUUGAAACGUCUGUUCAGAAACGAAGAGCAUGCCAAGUUGAUGCGAUGGCACAGUGAGGACCGUAAUAAAGACGGGAAGUUGAGAGCACCCGCUGACGGGUCGCAGUGGAGAAAAAUCGAGAGAAAGUACUGGGCUGAGUUUGCAGCUGACCCAAGGAACGUAUGGUUUGGUUUAAGCACGGAUGGCAUUAAUCCUUUCAGGGAGCAGAGCAGCAAUCACAGCACCUGUCCCGUGACUCUAUGUAUGUAUAACCUUCCUCCUUGGAUGUGCAUGAAGCGGAAGUUCAUUAUGAUGCCAGUUCUCAUCCAAGGCCCUAAGCAACCCGGCAACGACAUUGUUGUGUACCUAAGGCCAUUAGUUGAAGAACUUUUACAGCUGUGGAAUGGAAACGGUGUACGUACGUGGGAUGAGCACAAACAGGAGGAAUUUAACCUGCACGCGUUGCUGUUUGUAACCAUCAACGAUUGGCCCGCUCUUAGUAACCUUUCAGGACAGACAAACAAGGGAUACCACGCAUGCACGCACUAUUUAGAUGACACUGAAAGUAUAUACCUGGACAAAUGCAGGAAGAAUGUGUACCUGGGCCAUCGUCGAUUUCUUCCGACCAACCAUCAAUGUCGAAAGAAAGGCAAGCAUUUCAAAGGCGAGGCAGAUCACCGGAAGAAGCCCGCCAUGCGUACCGGUGAUCACGUACUUGCUAUGGUCAAUGAUUUACACGUAAUCUUUGGAAAGGGUCCCGGCGGACUUGCUGUUCUGAAUGACGCUGAGGGACACGCACCCAUGUGGAAGAAGAAAUCUAUAUUUUGGGACAUACCCUACUGGAAAGAGCUAGAGAUCCGCUCUUCAAUCGACGUGAUGCAUGUGACGAAGAACCUUUGCGUGAACCUGCUAGGCUUCUUGGCCGUGUAUGGGAAGACAAAAGAUACACCUGAGGCACGGGAGGACCUGCAACGUUUGCAUGAAAAAGACGGCAUGCCUCCGAAGCAGUAUGAAGGUCCUGCCAGCUACGCUCUUACGAAAGAAGAGAAAGAAAUCUUCUUUGAAUGCCUGCUCAGUAUGAAGGUCCCGACUGGCUUCUCGUCGAAUAUAAAGGGAAUAAUAAAUAUGCCAGAGAAAAAGUUCCAGAACCUAAAGUCUCAUGACUGCCACGUGAUUAUGACGCAACUGCUUCCGGUUGCCUUGAGGGGGCUUCUACCGGAAAACGUCCGAUUAGCCAUUGUGAAGCUAUGUGCAUUCCUCAAUGCAAUCUCUCAGAAGGUGAUCGAUCCAGAAAUCAUACCAAGGCUAAGGAGUGAUGUGGCGCAAUGUCUUGUCAGUUUCGAGCUGGUGUUCCCACCAUCCUUCUUCAAUAUCAUGACGCACGUCCUAGUUCAUCUAGUCGACGAGAUUGUCAUUCUGGGGCCCGUAUGUCUACACAAUAUGUUCCCCUUUGAGAGGUUCAUGGGAGACCUAAAGAAAUAUGUCUGUAACCGCGCUAGGUCAGAAGGAAGCAUCUCCAUGGGCCAUCAAACAGAGGAUGUCAUUGGGUUUUAUGUUGACUUCAUUCCUGGCCUUAAGAUGAUAGGUCUCCCUAAAUCGCGGUAUGAGGGGAGACUGACUGGAAAAGGCACGCUUGGAGGGGACUCAAUAAUAUGCAGGGACGGAUAUUCUUGGUCUCAAGCACACUACACAGUUCUACAGAACUGUACCUUGGUGACCCCGUAUGUCGAGAACACAAGAACCGUCUGCGCUCCAAACACCCGGAGCAGUGUGACGACUGGAUUACAUGUGAACACAUCAGGACUUUCAGCAGUUGGUUGGAAACACGUUUCAGAGGUGACACCACUGUUUGUGAUGAGUUGUACUCGUUGUCCAGGGGACUAUCUUCGACUGUAUUGACUUACAAAGGAUACGAGAUAAAUGGGAAUACAUUUUACACGAUCGCCCAAGAUCAAAAGAGCACCAACCAAAACAGCAGUGUCCGCUUUGAUGCAGCAACCGAGAGGGGAAAGGACACAUAUUAUGGUUACAUAAUGGACAUAUGGGAACUUGACUACGGACAUGAUUUUAAGGUCCCUUUGUUUAGUGCAAAUGGGUCAAUCUGUCAGGAGGCGGGGUACAGGUAGACCCACAGUACGGAAUGACAACAGUGGAUCUGAACAAUCUUGGGUACACUGACGAACCGUUCGUCCUAGCCAAUGAUGUGGCACAGGUUAUCUAUGUGAAGGACAUGUCUACCAGACCGAGAAAAACAAAAUAUAAGGAAGCGAAUACAUCAUACGAUGAGCCAAAGCGCCACAUAGUUCUUUCAGGAAAAAGGGACAUUGUGGGAGUGGAGGGCAAGACAGACAUGUCUGAAGAUUAUGAAAAGUUUCAUGAAAUUCCUCCCUUCAAAGUCAAGGCUGACCCAAGCAUCCUGAUAAACGAUGAAGAUUAUCCAUGGUUACGGCGCAAUAAGCAAAUGACACAAGCGAAGAAAAAGUGAAGACUUUCUCCUGUAACUAUUAUGAUGAUACCAUGCCAACUUUGUAACAGACGAGUAUGAUACCAUUGUCCGUUUUGUACACGAAGUGCAUCUAGUUUUUGCCGUAACCCUCUCAACUUUCUUGCACAUGCUAUGUGGAUGAAAUGAUGAUACCAUGCCAACUUUCAACCUUUUCAGAGUUCAUUUGAAAUGGUUUUCAAUUUUAGGGUCUUAUAGCUCAAAAUAAUUAGUAAAUGCAUGAAAAAUAACAGGCCAAAAAUUAAAAAUUAUGCCACCUACUGGGCCACCACGGCCUGAAUACGAUUAGAAACCCAUCCAUGGGCCAGGAUUCAGGCCCGCAGAAGGCCCAGUAGGCCCACAGGCAUGUACAGAGAGGUUAGGCCCGUAAGCCUGCUUUAGAGAGGAGCUCGACAGCUCAGGCACACCGCACCUUAUAAACAGGUGCGGCUCUCUCUCAGCUAGCGAGGUGGGACUAAACUCACCACCACGCCGCUGUGCAAGGCCAUUGGUCCCGGUUGAUGGCACGAACCGGGACCAAUUCCACCCUUUGGUCCCGGUUGGUGCCACGAACCGGUACUAAUGAGGCUGUGGCCCCACGAGCACCUUUAGUACCGGUUCGUGGCACGAACCGGUACUAGAGUUUCUUACUAAGCAGUUUUUUAGUCCCGCCUCGCUAGCUGAGAGGCACUAGGAGCGGUUUAUAAGCCCUGAGUGCAGAGACGAUGAAGAAGAGGCGCAAUGCUCACGUUGCUUAGCUUCAAGCCUUGAGGAAUAAGGUAGACUGCAUGGAGCUAUGUGCAGUGCAGUCUACACUAUUCCGAAAGGCUUGAAGCAAAUCAACGAGCAUUGCGCCUCUUUUUUAUUUUAAUAACUUAUUACAACUCCAGAGUUCUUGUGUUCCGACAAAAUAAAAUAAACUUUAAUAAAAUUUAUGAAACUAAAAUUAACAAAGUUUUUUCUGUUCAAAACAUUAUAAGAAACCUCUAGUAUUAUUGAAACUAAAAUCAUAUAAAAUUGAUGCAACUAAAAUUAUCGAAGUAUUUUCUGUUCAAAAUCAUUAAAAGCAAAAAGAAUUUUCAUAAAGAACUUUUUUGAUAGAAACUUUAAUAGCAAAAAGAAUUAUCAUAAAUUAAAAUAAAUAAGUAAUUAGAAAUAAAAUAAAAUAAAUAAGUUUUUUGUUGUAAGUAGAAACAAAACAAANNNNNNNNNNNNNNNNNNNNNNNNNNNNNNNNNNNNNNNNNNNNNNNNNNNNNNNNNNNNNNNNNNNNNNNNNNNNNNNNNNNNNNNNNNNNNNNNNNNNNNNNNNNNNNNNNNNNNNNNNNNNNNNNNNNNNNNNNNNNNNNNNNNNNNNNNNNNNNNNNNNNNNNNNNNNNNNNNNNNNNNNNNNNNNNNNNNNNNNNNNNNNNNNNNNNNNNNNNNNNNNNNNNNNNNNNNNNNNNNNNNNNNNNNNNNNNNNNNNNNNNNNNNNNNNNNNNNNNNNNNNNNNNNNNNNNNNNNNNNNNNNNNNNNNNNNNNNNNNNNNNNNNNNNNNNNNNNNNNNNNNNNNNNNNNNNNNNNNNNNNNNNNNNNNNNNNNNNNNNNNNNNNNNNNNNNNNNNNNNNNNNNNNNNNNNNNNNNNNNNNNNNNNNNNNNNNNNNNNNNNNNNNNNNNNNNNNNNNNNNNNNNNNNNNNNNNNNNNNNNNNNNNNNNNNNNNNNNNNNNNNNNNNNNNNNNNNNNNNNNNNNNNNNNNNNNNNNNNNNNNNNNNNNNNNNNNNNNNNNNNNNNNNNNNNNNNNNNNNNNNNNNNNNNNNNNNNNNNNNNNNNNNNNNNNNNNNNNNNNNNNNNNNNNNNNNNNNNNNNNNNNNNNNNNNNNNNNNNNNNNNNNNNNNNNNNNNNNNNNNNNNNNNNNNNNNNNNNNNNNNNNNNNNNNNNNNNNNNNNNNNNNNNNNNNNNNNNNNNNNNNNNNNNNNNNNNNNNNNNNNNNNNNNNNNNNNNNNNNNNNNNNNNNNNNNNNNNNNNNNNNNNNNNNNNNNNNNNNNNNNNNNNNNNNNNNNNNNNNNNNNNNNNNNNNNNNNNNNNNNNNNNNNNNNNNNNNNNNNNNNNNNNNNNNNNNNNNNNNNNNNNNNNNNNNNNNNNNNNNNNNNNNNNNNNNNNNNNNNNNNNNNNNNNNNNNNNNNNNNNNNNNNNNNNNNNNNNNNNNNNNNNNNNNNNNNNNNNNNNNNNNNNNNNNNNNNNNNNNNNNNNNNNNNNNNNNNNNNNNNNNNNNNNNNNNNNNNNNNNNNNNNNNNNNNNNNNNNNNNNNNNNNNNNNNNNNNNNNNNNNNNNNNNNNNNNNNNNNNNNNNNNNNNNNNNNNNNNNNNNNNNNNNNNNNNNNNNNNNNNNNNNNNNNNNNNNNNNNNNNNNNNNNNNNNNNNNNNNNNNNNNNNNNNNNNNNNNNNNNNNNNNNNNNNNNNNNNNNNNNNNNNNNNNNNNNNNNNNNNNNNNNNNNNNNNNNNNUCUGCCCCUGCCCCGACCACGCCGCCGUCGCCUCUGCGCCUGCCCCGACGCGCCGCCGUCGCCUUGGUCAGGGCCGGCACUGCCCCCUAAUUCCUCCCUGUUUUUUCUGCACAUUUAUAUGCUUAUAUGUAUAUGUAUGAGUAUAUGUAUGUGUGUAUAUCUGUUUAUAUGUCCUUUUAUUAGAUCUUUUUUUUGCAUUUUCUCUGUGUAUAUGUAUGUAUAUAUGUUCUCUGUGUAUAUAUAUGUUCAUAUAUAUAUGCAAAAGAUAGAUUUUUAGAAAAGUUAGGAUUUUUUUCUGUUCAUAGAUUUUUUUGGUGAUAUUAAUUAUUGUAGAAUAUGCAAAUGUUUGUAUAUUCAUAUGAACAAUGCAUUAGGCAAAACCUUUACUUUUUUUUGAAAUUUUCUAUUUGAACAUUUUUUAUGAAUGAGAGGAAAAAUGAAAAUAAGAAGAGGAAGAAAGGAGAAGAAGAGGAGAGGAAGAAGAGGAGAAAUAAAUAAGAAGAGGAAAAAAGAAAAAAAGAAGAGGAGAAGAAGAAAGGAAUAGAACAGAAGAAGAAAAAAUAGAAAAAACUCUCUUCUCUCCUCUAUUCCUUUCUUCUUCUCCUCUCUUUUUUUCUUCUUUUUUUUCUUUGAUCUUCUCCUCUAUUCCUUUUCUUCUUCUCCUCUUUUAGUUUCUUCUUCGUUUUCUUGUGUUUUAUCGGGUCUGUCGUCGUCGAUAUACCCCUCUCCCGAUAACUUCAACACGAGGGGGNNNNNNNNNNNNNNNNNNNNNNNNNNNNNNNNNNNNNNNNNNNNNNNNNNNNNNNNNNNNNNNNNNNNNNNNNNNNNNNNNNNNNNNNNNNNNNNNNNNNNNNNNNNNNNNNNNNNNNNNNNNNNNNNNNNNNNNNNNNNNNNNNNNNNNNNNNNNNNNNNNNNNNNNNNNNNNNNNNNNNNNNNNNNNNNNNNNNNNNNNNNNNNNNNNNNNNNNNNNNNNNNNNNNNNGAUAACUUCAACACGUGGGGGGGGGGUCGAUAUACCCCCUCCCCGAUAACAUUAUUUUCCCAUGUAUGUAUGUCGUCGUUGUCGAUAUAUAUAACUCCCUCCCAGAUAACUUCGACAUGAUGGACGGUCGAUAUUUAUACCCCCUCUCGGCCGUGAUAACUUAUACCACGGGAGCACCCCCCGACGCUCUCGCUCGACCAAAACUCUCGAUCACACCCAAACCAUAGAAAAAAACGAUGUCGGUCUCCUACCCCCUCCCGCCGCGCCCCUACCCUUGAAGCGUUGCUGAGGCCACCCCAAAUCCGGAAUAAGCUAGGUCUACGUUUGCACUAACCACCUGCUGUCAUGUUUGUGUAAUAAUUGCCAUGUUGUAAUAUUUGCAGAAACAAUGGAGCACGGACGAGACGAGCAAGCAGAAGAGGUGUUGGGGGACAUAAUCUUAGCCGGAGGUGAUAUCUUGUCGUAUCUUAACGUCAAUGAUGGUCUGGAAGAACAGGGUGAAGAAGCAGGCUACGGUGAUCGAAGAGUGGAGGAGGGAAGACAUGAUUAUGAUGGCUCCGGUGACCCAAUGUUGGUGCAAGAAGGAGCCCGUGAUGACGGCUCCGGUGACCGAACAGAGUCCGGCCAGGUAAAUAUAUUAGUUAAGCCUGUGCUGACUAGCUAAUUGAUGCAUUCAUUGUUUUGGCAUGUACACAUAUUAAUUAACACUCGUCUUUCUUCUUUUUUUCUAGCCCUCCGGAUCGAGCACAACUGCGGUAAAGAGACGAGGCCCGAAGAGAAAGUUGCGCUCGGAUGAAAGGUUUGAGAUCCAAGCAAUCGCGCGCGACGGCCAAUCGAUUGAACCCAUCCGGACAAAGGAUGCAUUUGCUGCUCAGUGCGGGGUUCUAGUUAGGGACAAGAUCCCGAUCAGCAUCCACCAAUGGUAUAAGCCUAAGAAGGAAGACCCUGAGGUGUCUUAUGUCAAUGAUAUGCAGAAAGAUGAUCUUUGGACUGAGCUGAAGGCAAAUUUCACCCUACCGCCAGAGGAGGAUCCGGAGAAGCCAGUUAAAGAGCAAUUAAUCAAGUCUCAUGCUCUUAAGAAGAUGGCAGACCUAUUCAGGAGGUGGAAGAAUGAGCUGAAAACGUUUGUCGACAAAGAAGAGACACCAGAAUUCAUCGGCCGGUAUGAGAAGAUCAGAGAUCACUGGCCCGCAUUUGUGGCUCGCAAGACAUCGGAAAAGAGUAAGAAGAUGUCAGCAACAAACAAGAAAAAUGCUGCGAAGAAGAAGCUUCACCAUCGCACGGGGUCAGGUGGCUACCUCAAAGCCCGGCCUAAGUGGGCCAAGGCUGAGAAUGAUCUGCUUGAAAAAGGGUUCGAACCACAGACAAUGAACUGGACAGACCGUUGCUGGACUUGGUUCUUCGGGGCUGGCGGAACCUUGGACCCUGUAUCAGGGAGGUGCGUUUGGACGAACGAGCUUUUGAGAAUACCAGUCAAGAAGAUUCAGCAAUAUAUCGAUGCAGCGCAGGAAGGGACGUUCGUUCCAGACAGAGAGAACGACGAGCUCACAAUGGCCCUCGGGAAUCCUGAGCACCCUAGACGGACACGAGGCACGCCAGGCUCCGUUCCGUGGAAGGCUGGUUUUCCGGACGCAGGCAGUUACAAAAGCCAGGACAGGAGGAAAAAAUAGAGCAGACCCAAAUUCAGAAGCUGCACGAAAGGGUUCAAGCGCUAGAGGAACGAGACAGCAAUCGACAUGCCGAAACUACCCCCAAAGCUACCCCGCCAUCUCAGCGGAGAAGCAGCGUGGCUUCCACCGAGCUGCUUCAGCUGGAGCAUGUCUUGACGGCUCCUGCUAGCUACCCCGUGGAUGCUAUCACGGAGUCUCAAUAUUGCCACCUUAUGGCGCAAUGGCAGAACUUCAAAGUCAAGGCGGCUGUUGGCUCUGUUUUACCUCCUAAACCCGGCGCAACCUACCAUUGCCGGCCGAUUCCAGAAGGAUAUGCUAGGGUGAUGGUGGAUGAAAUAAUGGAGGGAUUUGAGGACCUCCAGCUUGACCACCCUACCGGUGAAGGGGAGACUCGGCUGGGUUUAGCUCUGAAGACUCCGUGCCUAUGGCGGAAGGAGCUCAUCAACCUUCCGAACUGGACGGCUCCGGCGAGUAAGGGCAGUCCGCCUCCUCCUCCGCCUCCUCCUCCGGCGAGUGAGCAGGGCACUCAGCCUCCUUCUCCGGCGCGUGGCGGCACUCCGCCUCCGCCUCCUCCUCCGGCGAGUGAUCAGGGCACUCAGCCUCCUUCUCCGGCGCGUGGCGGCACUCCGCCUCCUUCUCCGCCUGCGCCGGCGCGCCAGAGCAGCUAGCCUCCUCCUUCUCCGCCUCGUCAGCAAGGGCGGAAGAGACCCGCCGCCGCUGCGGCUGCUCCGGCGCGUCGUAGUCCUUCUCCUCCGCCUCACAAGCAAGGAAAGAAGACAGCCGCAGCCGCUCCGUGUGCUCUGCCGGCGUCUAGCAGUACAGCUGCCAGAGGCGGGAGGCAAUACAGAUUCGGUCCUUCUCUGAAGACUCCAGAGAAGUUACCAUACGAGAGGACCGAGGAGGAAACCAGGAAGAUCGUGCGAGCCGAAGUGACAAACUUCUUUGAAGGGGUGAAAGCAAAGAAACAUCCACCUCCGGAGGAGAAGGUAGAUCCGGUGAAAGCAAAUCGCACUCUGGCUGCCCUGACAAAACCACCAAAGUCUCCGCUGAGAGGCAACUAUGAGCGCAUUCUUGCAAAGACAUAUGCCGAAGCGGAGCGGUCGGGAAGUACUGUCAGUGAUCAAAGGUUAAACGAACGACGAGCUGGGAAAAAAAUUUGCCCAGCUCGGCGAACAAGCGAACCAAUCGUGCCCCCCGCUCAAGGUGUCAAAAGACAUCGUCGCUAAUGAUCCGAGGAUGGUGCCCGAUUAUAGCAAUCUUGGAGAUUACCUGCCCGACGAUGUACAUUAUGAAAUCAUGGAGGUGGACGAACACAAAUACCAUUACGGGAAGCCUCUCGUCAAAGAUGAAAGAUCUCUAACAACGAUGAUGUGAAGAUUACAUGAUUGGUACAUGAAAACCUGCAGAGAGUCUGAUGGGACGAGUACUUUGACGCUGAGAGUUAAACCGGAGCAUGACCUCGUUGGAAUUGAACUGCUGAAUGUUCCAUUUGAGGAUUUCUUCCAGUUUUACAAUCAAAAGGCCCUCGAUAAAACAACGAUCACUUGCUACUGUCUGUAAGUAGUACUACUUCUGUCAUUAAGUCUCUCUAUAUAGGUCAGCUCUUUCAUUGCAUGUAUUUAUAAUUAUCCUCGCUAUAUUAUGCAGAUUGAAGAUCGCCAAAUUGAAGAAAAGACAAAUCGGUGAUAUUGGGUUCAUUAACACAAAUCUCAUAGAUGCAUAUACGGGUGAAAAACAUCCCAAAGAAGCCGAGGCCAACUUGCUACAAUCGUUGGUAUUAAAUCAAAACAAAGAUAUAAUAGUCUUUCCUUACAACUUCAAGUGAGUGUUACUGUCUUGUGCAUAUUCGGUUUCCCUUAUUAGUCCAGGUUAUGGUAAUGUAAUUGAUGACUUAUGCAUGCAUGCGCAGCUUCCACUAUAUUCUCCUAGAGAUUAAGCUUGAGCAGGGAGUAGUAACCGUCUUAGACUCGAGACGAAAAGAUCCCCAGGACUAUGCGAACAUGACUCAAAUGCUCGAGAAGUAAGUUAAAUCGAUCAUUAUCCAUCAUAUCAGCAACUUUGUUCAUUUCCUGAUAUCAAGUAAUUGUUUUCUUUGUCUGGCAGGGUUUGGAGAAAAUUCACCACAAAAGCUCCGGGACUGCCGAAGAAGCUGCAAUUUAAACACCCGAAAGUAAGUACUAUAGUAGCAUGUUCCGCACAUCUCCUAGUGAUUCAAGCGCUAGUUUCAUCAAUACCAUUUAGCAUGCUUGCUUAUCAGUUUGAUUGACCUCUAUUUCUUGUAAAGUGGUUGUGACAGGAACCCGGAAAUAAUUACUGUGGAUACUACGUUUGUGAGUCCAUCCGCUACACGACCUGUGAGCGGGGCUACUCUGAAGAACAAUAUGAAGUGCGUAAGCAAUAAUAUUCACAAUUUUAUUUUAUUACCAUCAUUUGUGUUGAGUUUCAUUUAUUCAUAUAUAUAUGUAUUGACCCCCUUCUUCAAAUUAGAUGUUUCGGAAGCGGGAUGAACUCCUAGCACCAGAUCGUAUGCGAGGAAUUCAAGAGGAAUUGGCGGCAUUCUUCCUUGACCACGUGAUCGCUGAAAACGGAGAAUACUAUGUGGACCCUAUGUUCUUACAAUUUAAUUAGGAGAUUGUAUUGUAAGAGAUAAUUAUUGUAUAUAUGUAGCCAGUAGUGUCGGAUAGAUAUACGAGAACUUGUUGUUCGACCAAUCUCUCGGAGAAGGAGAGGUGGUCGAUAUCACUUCUCUCUGUAUGCAUAUGUUCAUGACGAUCUUCUGUUUCCUUCAUUUGAUUACUAGCUAGCGUGUCUAGUCCUCUCCAUACGUAUAUAGUACGUAGCGUCGACCAAGCACGGAGAUAAGAGAGGACACUUCUCUCUAUUAAUUAGCUAGCUAACACAAUAUAUGAAAGACCUAAAUUAACCCCCAACACCCCCCCCCCUUCAAAAAAAAACAAAAACCCCAGCCCCUAAAAUGCUGACGCGUGGAUGCCUAUUGGUCCCGGUUGGUGACACCAACCGGGACAAAUGGCCCUGCCUAUUGGUCCCGGUUGGUGGCACCAACCGGGACCAAAGGCCCCCCUGCCUGGGCUGGCAGCAGCGGCCACGUGGAGGACCUUCNNNNNNNNNNNNNNNNNNNNNNNNNNNNNNNNNNNNNNNNNNNNNNNNNNNNNNNNNNNNNNNNNNNNNNNNNNNNNNNNNNNNNNNNNNNNNNNNNNNNNNNNNNNNNNNNNNNNNNNNNNNNNNNNNNNNNNNNNNNNNNNNNNNNNNNNNNNNNNNNNNNNNNNNNNNNNNNNNNNNNNNNNNNNNNNNNNNNNNNNNNNNNNNNNNNNNNNNNNNNNNNNNNNNNNNNNNNNNNNNNNNNNNNNNNNNNNNNNNNNNNNNNNNNNNNNNNCGGGACAAAAGGCCCUGCCUAUUGGUCCCGGUUGGUGGCACCAACCGGGACCAAAGGCCCCCCUGCCUGGGCUGGCAGCAGCGGCCACGUGGAGGACCUUCUGUCCCGGUUCGUGUAAGAACCGGGACUAAAGGGUUAGGGCUUUAGUAACGACCCUUUAGUCCCGGUUCGAAAACCGGGACAAAAGGCCCUUACAAACCGGGGUAAAAGCCCCUUUUCCUACUAGUGAUCCCACCUGUCAGUUUUGCUAUUAACACGUCUCAGUUUCGAAUUAGUGAGAUUUGUUACUCAAUUGUGACAAAAAUAGUGGUUUUUUUGUGAUUUUUCGAAAAAAUGAUGAUUUUGCAGUAUUCUAACCACAAAGGUGGUGGCUUUCAGCAAUUUACUCCUUCGACGUCUCCCUCGCGGUCGGCGAUGCCUCGCUAGGUGCCUUCGUCCUCCUGUGCUGCUGGCAUCUGUGGAAGCGGCGGAACGCGGUGGUGUUCCAGCGCGAGGCCCUGCCCCUGGCCGCCGUCAGGAAGGCGUGCCGUGACGACGCGGUCCUUUGGCGGGGCCGCUUCGGUCCGAGCCAGCGCGGCCACAUCGACGUCUGGCUGCGUGCUCUCUCCCCCUAGACACCUAGUAUAGGCUUUCCCCUCUCCUUUCUUGUGUCUAAUUUCUCGCUAGUCCCCUCCCUUCCUUUCUCUGAUGCUGUCCUCCCUGUACGGAUGUAAACUGUGUGGGGUGCUGGGCAGAUUGCAGUACAAAGAUUCAGGUGGGGGAGUUCUCUCCCCCCUUUGAAAAUUCAAAAAAAAAAAACUAUGGACGACGGCAGACAGCGAGGCCAAGUGGCGGCAUCGCUACAAUUCUGAUGAGAUGGAGCACACACUCUUUGGCAUCCACUCCGGCCGAGUAACUUCGCCUCGCCGCGGAAGGUGUGGCACUACUGACGAAAAAUGGUUUCCCCCCGCUUAAUACAUAAAGCAACCAAACAAACCGAAACCGAGCUCAGCGCAGCAGCAACGCUCAUGGACGUGCGUCUGCUCGUUGACGACAAGCGGUGGCGUGCGUGGUGUGAGUUGGUACUACGCGUGCGCUCAGGCAGCCUUGAGCUUAGCGUGUCGUCGGUGUGGAGAGCGAUGGCACAUGAGGUGUUCGGCAAAAUGCCAACCGAGCGCACUGGAGAGAAAGUAGGGAGAUGUGAUGAGGUGGUGGUCAUUGUAGUCAAAACCAUGCCACAUCAGAACCAAUACCACUUUGGUUCGGCAAAGGGACCAAAUUCGUCCGGUAUGAGAAGUUAUGGGUGCAAAAUGCCUGGUUUUGAAGUUGAGGGGUCAAAGUUAAGGGACAAAAAUAUAUAGCAUAUUUCUCUAUAAAAAAACCUGAUAAAAUGUUUUCACGUGGACCAAUCAAGAGUAGGCAUGUAUUGUUUGUGCAUUGUUUUACACUGUCAUCAGUGUUAUUGCACCCAACAGAAGGUUAUAUUUAUAUACACUUGAUUAAUUACAUGAGAUAGACACUUUAUAAAGAUGCAUGUAGUCUGCCCGCUUGGUGAAGUAAUCCUCUUAGGGCGCCCGAUGGAAACUGGAUGGAUGAUUCGACAAGUGGGAUGGGCUCGGGGGUCGACAGCAGGGGCGGGCCUGUGCUUGCAAAGCGUACGUACAUCAUCGACCCAUGUGGUUGAUCGGGUGCAAGAAGCACUUAGGGUUUCUUGCGCCGCCGCCGUCAUCUGAGAAAUUUAGGUCCCCUCGCUUUCGGCUGCCAUCUUGGCGCUGAGAGGGGAGAGGGGCUUGGAUCUUCAAGACCUUUAUGUUCUUCGUCAUCGUCUAAUAAUCAUCAUAGUUUUGUGAGAGUAAAUUUCCUCUCGUUCUUUUAGCAGUGCCAUGAGAAUAGAGAGUUUUUCGUCCUCUCAGAUCCGAUUAUUCAGAUCUAAUGAGUCUAGCUAUGUUGUUGUGUCAAGCUUUUUUUAUCGGUAUGAUUCUUUAUGAGGGUGAAAUCUUUCAUCGACAACAUGGUGAAGAUAUAUUGAUUCGACGGCCUGCAGUUCUAGGGGACCAUUCCCGGCCCAAGUAUGUUCAUCCAUCAAGACUUAGCGACUGAAGGCGCUUUCAAAAACCAUUAUUGGUAAUGUUCGUGCGUGUGAAAGAGUGGCAAUAUCGUUGCUCCAGUCCAAUUAUAGUCUCUUCAUCGAAGUCUUUGGAGUAUUUCUUCAAGCAGAAAUUGACGCCAUGAAGGUAUUCUCAAGAGAUUUUACUGCAAUUCUUAGUCAUACGACUUACUCUGUAUUUUCUUGAAUUUUAGAUCCAAAUCAGUGUACCCGUAAUUAUUAUGAGUACCAAUAAAGUUACAUGUGUUUAAAGAAAAUGGUUGAUCGUGUAGAUACAUGAACAUUGGUGAAACAGUCAUAUCCAAAAUUUGCUAGUCCGCCGGGGGCACGGGCAUGUCGCGUCGCGACGUGUCCACGACCAUACAGAAAAUAUUUUCAUGUAACCAAUCAAGAGUAGGCAUGUAUUGUUUGGAUGUUACUCUUACACCGCCAUCAAUGUUAUUGCAUCCAGCAGAAGGUUUUAUUACUACUAGAGGCUAACGCGCGCUUCGCCGCGCCGUUCUUCACUUGUGAAAAAUAACCUUUUUUUAUCUAUAGAUUAUUGUGAUCAGUUGUUUUGUUUUGAUUUUAUCUGUGUUGGCUCUGUGUUUUAAUUUUUUAUUGGUGGUGUUUUUUUUUGCAUAUCGUGUUGGGUUGAUGUUGGGGCAUUAUUUUUUCAAGAGAAGAGAGGAGUUAUUUGAUGUGUGGUUGUGAAGCCUUUGCACAGUUUGGCCUUCGUGUCGGCCCGGUGGUGAUUGUUUGAGCUUCUUGGGAGUUCGUAUUUCAUGCUAAACCCAUGGAAUUGUUAUUGUGACACUCACACAUGUCAGCACACGAAGCUCUUGCUCGCUCAGCCGUGCUCUGUGCUCCUCUCGCUCGUUUAGCUUUUUUUGCUCACCCCAUUGCUAGCUCAGAAAAAAUCGCCUGUCUUUCUUUAUUUGAAAAGGCUAGUAAAAUUAAAUGAUGUUUAAGGAACUUUAAAAAUAUUAUGACUUUUAAAAACCAUGAAUUUUACAAAAAAAUCAUGAAUUUGAAAUAUAUUCAUGGUUUAAAAAAUGUUCACAAAAAAUAGUGUUCAAUUUUUAAAAAUGUUCAUAAACUUUAAAUGACCAUGAACUUAAAAAUAUCCCCAAAUUUAAUCAAUAUUAACAAAUUUGAAUAAUCUUAAAAUAUGUCUAUGUUUUUUAAAGUACAUAAAUUUUAUUAAGUGCUUAUGAAUUAAAACGUGAAAAAAAAGAAAUAGAAGGAAACAACACACACUUACGUGUGGGGCCCUAGUGACCCCACAACCCUCGAAGCACCAGAACGCUUCAAUUCGAGGGAGCUUAGUAUCUCUAUAGAUAUACAAAUGCCUGCAUCCUACAUUUGGAUAUGCAUAUCCUUCAAACAUUGAAUGCAUAGCCAAGAGGAGUGCCAUAAAUAGCACUCAACCUCCGUUCUUCUCCUCACACUAUCAUUCCAACAACUUCUUUUGAGCACUUGGCCAUGGCGUUCAGCGGCGCCCAGGUGCUUGCUGCUUUCACCCUGGGCUUUCUUCUCAUGGCUUUUUUUUGAAAUGCAGGUAUACCCCCGGCCUCUGCAUCAUGAUGAUGCAUGCGGCCCUUUUAUUAAAAAUCCAUAAAGUAUCAUCACAAAGGUCUUACAGCUCGCAAACGGAGCAAAACAAAGCACAUAAAACUGAAAAAUACAAUCGGACAAAGACAACCGGUACGGUGAUAAUAAGGACAAGCUCUCUAGACUCCUAUCCUGUUAUGCGAACGCCAUCCGAACCGGUUGAAUAUAGCCCGAGCCACCAUCUCCCAUUGGUUGCACCCAGUAACCAAAGGCUCCCUGGAGUCCAUGGGAGUGAGUAAGGACCACGUACGGAUCCAAGCUGUAGCUCUGAAGAUAACCUGCAAAAAAGUUAAGUUGUGUUGUCUGGUAAAAAUCAUAUCAUUUCUGCAGUUCCAUAUAGCCGAUAAUAACGCACAUAUUCCAAUCCGAAUACGAGCUGUCGUGAUCUGUUCAACCCCAGCUAACCACGUCCCAAACAAAGACGCAAUAUCUACUGGGGGAUUGAUAUUAAAAGCUAUAUGAAUCGUUCUCCAAAGUAACUUGGCAAGUGGGCAUUCGAUAAAUAAAUGUUGUAUUGUUUCAUCUUGAGAACAAAAACAACACCGCGAGUUACCUACCCAUCGCCUCUUAAGUAAGUUGACCUUUGCGAGUAUUAUUUGCUUGUGGACAAACCACAUGAAAAUUUUAAUCCGCAAAGGAACCUUAACCUUCCAUAUAUGAAGUGACCUUGAGAUGGGGCCAGAAUUAAUCAGAUCCGUAUAAAAUCAUUUCACCGUAAAUAUCCCUUUUUAGUUAACUUCCAUUGUGUGGAGUCCGGCACGUUGGAGAGUCGAACUUCAAUCAAUAUCCGAACCAAGUGCAUCCAGGCUGUCCAUCUCUCACCCACUAACGUACAUCUGAACUGGAUGUUCAACAUCCUCUCUCAUGGCCUUCUAUAAGUUCAUAUAGCAGAUUUAUCGCAUCGCAAUCCCAUGCAACUAAGAUAAAUCGAUGAAACAACUGCUAAUAUAGUUUGUUGGUACACACUCUAAUUCUAUGUCACAUGCAGGUGCGGAGGCUCGGGUAUGCAUGUCCCCUAGCAAGUUUUCCAAAGGCCGUUGCAAAACGAACGCACGAUGUACCGCGGCUUGCCACAAAGAGCACUUCGAGGGUGGGUACUGCUCCAGCAAAAAGUCCAUCGUUGGCGACCUGCACAACGAAGAUAAUGACCUUUCAAACGUAAGAAGAAAAAAAGGUGUAUUUGUGCAUUCAAAUGCGACAAUAAAGCCCCGCCACCGCCGGAACCUGACGUGCCAGAGCCACCGCCGGUACAAAUCUGAGGUUCUGGAGCUGCCCUCGGGGGAACGCAAGAAGAAGCUACGGCCGGCUGCCGCCCAACUUACUGAGUGAGCAAAUGGUCCAGUCCGCCCGUGCGAGAAAAUGAUUUUAAUAAGAGAGGGAUUAAUCAACGCUUGAUUUGUACACAUGCAUAAUUGAUCGCAUGAGAAGAAGAAAAAGAAGAAGAAGAAGAAGAAGCAUAAUAAUAAUAAUAAUAAUAUGAAGUGUUUUUUAGGGAUAAUAAUAAUCUGAAGUUGCCGUGAUGGCCUCUCCUGUAUUUAGUAGUUUUAGUUCAGGGUGCUUGCCCGGGGUUGCCGUGAUCGAUGGCGCCUGGCAAGAUGACGUUACAGUGCUGCCCACCGUUGCCUUUUUUUUUUGCGAAAAUGAUUUAAAACUAUUAUCAAAGUUCAGAAGUACAAAAGAAUAUACUCCCUCUGUUCCUAAAUAUUUGUCUUUCUAAAUAUUUCAACAAGUGACUGCAUACGGAGCAAAAUGAGCGAAUCUACACUCUAAAAUAUGUCUACAUACAUCCGUAUGUGGUAGUCCAUUUGAAAUGACUAGAAAGACAAAUAUUUCAAAACGGAGGGAGUAAAACAUAAGAGAAAUUACAUCAAGAUUUGAAGGCUACCGAACAAUCAUUACUGUGGCUAGAAGGAGCCACCGACCUCGCUAUCGCCGCUCUCUACCGGAGCCGGCUUGAACUUGCAAUAACAGCCGAGAAGUCUUCCUGCACGUGCCACUAAUGACCAGCGCUCUGGAGCCGCAGUCAUCGCCGUUCAACCCUUCCAUAGAUCUGAAGCACCUGACAACAAAUCUCGUCACAUGAUGAGAAACUCUAACCUCAGUGCCCAAAGGAGAAGGCGGGAAUCUACGCCAGGGAUCCUUCGACUACGUCCAGACGGACGAACUCGAGAAGGAUUGAAGCACGAAAGACCAACUCAAAGAAGUAGCACCGCCAUCCGCCCAAGCGCUGCACCUGCAAGGACAAAAAAAAGUAACCUAAACUACCGCCAGCGUGGAGGCACACAAAUUCUCCUCCCCGCCACUGACCACUGAAGCGGCAUGCAAAGGGGAGCGGAAUCCAUGGGCUCGCCGGUGAUGUCUGGAGGAGAGAGUUUGUCCUAACCGCCUAUUAGGGGACGAAAAUGAGAGGCUGCCCACCGUUGCUUGCAUAGUGCACGCUGGUCGUCGAUGUCAUCUUCUGUUCUGGUUCCAUGGUGAGGUGAAAGGGAGGCAACAGUUCUCUCGCUAGCUCCCUUAAUAAGCACGCACUCGCACAAGAUCAAGUCUGUCUCGUGUCCUCCCCUCCUUCUUUUGGCCAUCAUGGCGCCGCCAUGGGGGGAAGAGCAUGACAAGACUUGGGCUUCUGAUACAGUCAGGUAUUUUGCUAAGAUCUGUUAGAGGGCCUCCAGCAUGCCUCCCGUUGCUACAUUCAUCACGGUGGUGGAAGCGUCUAUGCGGUCAUUUGGAUGGGGUUCAAGAGCUCAUGGUGGUGGAUUUGGAGGAAUUGUGGUGCCUCAGGGUGGGCGUUCGGGUUUACGCAAAAAUUCGGGUCUGGUAACUCGGACUUUUAGAAAUUCGGGUUUCCAAAAUCAACACCGAAAAUAUUCCUGAAAAAAGAGAAACUAAAAAAUUCUGGUUUAGGUUUGGGUAAUCUUGAAUUACCGAAAUUAGCACAACAAACAAAAUGACAGCAGCGCUCCCCUUUGAUUCCCUCACUCAAAGUUUGUGGGAUGUAGCUUCGCCUAGUGUGCUUCUCAUGGCGGCAGAAUACUGAAACUAGGAGGUAAUCAGCCUUAUCGCAGGCGGAGGUGGUGAGCCUCUCGCGCAUAGCAGACAGUGGCGGCGAUGUGCAGACGAUGGUGACGAUGCCGGUGAGGUGCAGGGAGUUAAGGAGGUGGCCGACCGCCUGGCCGCAUUGCAUGCUGGUGGUUGCUAGGCCGGGACCCAGGACGUGACCGGCUGCGUUGCAUUGUAGUCGUCGGUUCGAGAGAAACCGAGAGGAAGGAACGAGGCACCCAUGGAGAGAGAGGGGGGAGAGAUGGAGAGAGGCAGGGGCGGAGCUACAGGGUGGACAGGGUGGGCCGCGGCACACCCUGGGAUUUUGGGCCAGCCUAUAUACCAUAGGGGGUUACUAGGAGGAUGGGCCAAGGAAAAAAGAGCCCAGCAACAGCCUACUGCAUACACUGCGCGUUCCGUGCCUCUCGACGGUCGACGCCAGCUGAUUCCUCUGAUCCCCUUUGCUCUACGUGCUUCGAUCCGCCGCCAGCCGCCUGCCACAGUGCCUCCCCUAGUCGUUGUCGCCGCCUCGCGGGCUCCUCCCGCCAGUCCCUGCCGGGCUGCCGGCUACCGGCUGCAACUCCACCGGAAGUGCGGCACUACUGCACAGCAGCGCCGGCGUGGGCGUGCCCAGCCGCCCCUGCCAGUGCAAGGAGACUGCGCUUGACCUGGCCAAGUUCGUCGACAAGGGCGUCUACGUGAAGCUCACCGGCGGCCGGCAGGGUUGAUUCGUACAGCCGAAAUCUCUUUGCUUUCGUGCUAAGCUCUGCAUUAUCAGAUCCCCCCGUAUUUGUUUGUGUUAGCCACUUAGCCUGCUAACUGCCUAUUAGGCUCUGUCGUUGUCACCAGCGCGCUAUUUGGUGUAGAGCAAUCCUUAUAGACUUUCUACAAAUGUUACUGGAGUACUCGACUUGUUAGCUUGGUCUUUAUCCGAUUUAGUUGGUGCAUCUUGUGUUUCUUUAGUAUUGACGUGCAUGUUGUCAUUCUAAUCAGCAAACAAAUUCACAUACAUUGAGCUUUCUCCAAGGUGAAUGAAGCUGGUAUAAUUGAUACUUUCAUGCCCAUGCAAUAGCAUAGGCCAGAAACAUAGUCUUUUUAACUUCUCAAGGUAUUUACUAUGUAGGCUUCUUUUAUGCAAACCUAAGACUUAAUUAAGAAUUUUAGUAUGUUUGUAAGGCUAUAUUGAUCUAUUUAUGUGUGGUAUUGGUAAUUUCUUAGAACCUUCAGAUGUCAUGUUUGUUGUCAAAAAAAAAUUGAUGAGAAGGACCACCCUGAUUUCAAAUCCUAGCUCCGCCACUGGAGAGAGGGACUGCGUGACUGGCGGCACAUGGGAAGUGGAUGGGGGUCGCGACUAUGCUCGGUCGACCUAGGGGAAUCGAGGUCUUAUUCUUAUUCCCAUAUUGGGCUUGGCUGAUGCCAGGAGGUGGAAUAUUGAUUGGGCGGUUCCAUGAGUUGAAACCCAAAUUUCCCAAAAAAAAAUUGGGUUUCUAAAACUGUUACCGGGUUUAGUCUUCCGGUUUUUCAGGUUCGGGCUACACGGGUUCGGGUUUGGGCUUCGUGUAUCGGGUUUUAUGCCCACCAUGCGUGGUCCUCUUGUUGGUCAUGGCCUUGUUUCCUCCAAGGGGACACGACACAUAUCUUGUGGUCGAAAGGCGACCAAUAUCAUUUCUUCUGACCACGAUGCCAGAGAUAAGACAAGGUUACUCAAAGGUGGAGUCAAUGCCAUGCUAUCAUGGAGGUCUCGCCGUUUCAAGUGGUGCAUUCUUGGACCAACGAGAGUAGGUCCAUUGGGGAGCAAAAUCGGAGCCGAUUGCAAUAUACGUUCUUUGCUUUUGUUUGGGUUUUCUUUUGCAAGACUCAUAAUCUAGUUUGCAAGUCUGAGUUUCCUUUGGAUCUUGUUAUAAAUUGUACUCGUAUGCUUAUCUAAUCGAUACUGGGUCUUUCUAAACCCUACCCCGUGUUUAAAAAAGGGAAAUGAUGUAUUAUUUGUGUAUUACUCUAAUUUAUUGUUGGAUAGCGAUGAUGAGCAAUAGAUUUUUAGAAAACGAACCUUACUAGUAUUGUUAGGAAACCUGUUUUACUAUCUUUUUUGUUAAGAAUAGGCUAAAUCAUGUCUGGGCCUUGAUUAGACUUUGGAUACUUAGAGCAUCUACCGCCGCGAUGGGCAAACCAGGCCCACAAACGCCCGCGGACGCGCCCGGACGUGCCCGCAUCAUAUUUUCCAUUUUGCAUCCACCUUUCUUAUAUCUGGCGCCUUAUAUCCAUAUUACACAUGCAACGUUGGUCUACUCUACAUGAUCAAACGACGGACAAAAAAAGGCAUGCAAAGGAACACAAUAUCGGCUCCAAAAGGACAUUAACAAACUUCGGCACAUCCAAAAGAUCAUAGUCCGUCACCGGACAAGUUCUUAAACUUCUACAACUAAAAAGAUAUAAACAUUGAGGGGGGGGGGGUCACCACUUCCUUGGUAGGCCUUUGCCCUUCCAGUCGCCAGCACAAGCUAUAGGCGUCAGCGGCUGGUGGAGGAUCUUGGUCGUCCGACGAGCAGGUGCAGUUGUCGUCGGAGUCGGAGUCGGAGUCGGAGAGGACGAUGAGCCCCCUUCAUCCGACGGACCACCCUGUCCUACUCCUACUUCAACCUGGCGACCCGAGCCUUCUCCGUCGCUACCUCCUUCGCCUUGCGCUCUGACUGCUCAAUAGCAAGUCAGAGCGCCUUGACAUUCUUCCGUCGGAGGUGGCGAGCGUCUAUCUCUGCCAUCGUGACGGACCAGCGGUAGACCCAUGCGAGGAGACGCGCGUCCUCAUCCGGGUCUGCCUCCGUCCCGCAGCGGCGGCGUGCGGACUGCUCGGCCGCGUCCCUCUCCCAUGCACGCUGCCUCUCGCGGCGAGUGGCGCGCGCCUCCGAUUCCGGAGUGGGCGUGUAGGCCAGCGACGCGGGCACCAACACACACCUCUGCCUGUGUGAACGAGCGGACGACGGGGGUAGGAGAUGAUGUGGGGCCAGUGCGGACUGCGCUGUCCUGCGUCGUUGCGUGCGGGCCAGGAGAGUCCAGCUCCGUCGUCCGCGAUGUGCCAGCGCGGGUGCUGCGGUGAUGCUCUAGAUCUGGAGCUGUCGCCGGUCUCCACCUUGGACUACUCCAUCGCAAUGCAGAGGGCCAUCACCUCCUCGUAGUCCAGCUCGGAGCCGGAGUCACUGCCGGAGCUGGACAUCAUAGUGAAUGGGAUCGCAACCGGAGAAGGAGAGGAGAGGCCGGAGUGAGAGAGAGUGAGCUAGGGUUCGGAGCGAGGCACCCGAACUGGGGUUUCUUGUGGGACAUAUGUGGGGUCGGUGGUCGGCCGGGCCUGUCAGGCGGAGGCGCCCGGGCGUGCCCGGGCCGCCCCAUAUCCGUCCUCUAUUUGGGCUGGAUAUGAGGGGUGUUGUUUAGCCCGGUCAUUUAUUCGCGGUUAAUUAAGAGGUCCGGCUGGGUCGAUUUUUUGUGACCGAUCAGUGACCGGACGGCCUGUCCUGACCUUUAGGACGUGUAUGCGAUGUCUGUCUGUAGAUGCUCUUACUAAGCCAAAUGACCACGUUGAUCGACUCCAUGUUAGCCAGACUAGCCGCUGAAUGAAGAUGUUGCAGUAUUAGGUUGGAAGGUCCUUCAGAUCUGGGAGUUGAAGCACAAAGCGCUCAACAAUUUUUUUGUUAUUUUUUCCCAGGAUUCCUAAAUAUCAGUCCACUGAGGACUUAACGAAGUCUUAGUCGACGCUAUAUUUAUUAGAUGUAUAGGCGUUUUGCAUGAGAGAUGACCUUAACAUAUUGUUUUCCACGACGAGUUCUCUCACUAGAUUUUUUUUUUCAUGUAAGCAACUAUGAGUAGGCAAGUAUUAUUUGUGUUUUGCUCUUACACUGCCAUCAAUGUAAUUGCACCAAGAGCCAGUAGAAGGGAUUUUUUUUGGCGGGGUAGCACAAGCUUUUAUUUAGAUACACAUGAUUAAUUACUGGAGAUAGAUGCUAUACACAAAUGCUUGUAUCCAAUAUUUGGAUUUCCAUAUCUUCCAAGACAUUACACAAAUGCUUGUAUCCAAUAUUUGAAUUUCCCUACCCUCUAAGACAUUACACAAAUGUUGUAUCCAACAUUUGGAUUUUCAUAUCCUCUAAGACAUUACACAAAUGCUUGUUUUCAAUAUUUGGAUUUCCAUAUCCUCUAACGCAAUCAGUGCAUAGCCAAAAGGAGUGCAAUAAAUAGCACUCAAACCCCAUUCUUCAUCUCACAGCAUCAUUCCAACAACUUAUUUUGAGCACUUGGCCAUGGCAUUCAGCGGCGGCCAGAUGCUCGCUGCCUUCACCCUGGGCUUUCUUCUCAUGGCCUUCUGUAAGUUCAUAUAGCAGAUUUUAUCGCAUCACAAUUCCAUGCAAUUUUAGAUCAAUCGACGAAACAAUUGCUUCUAUAAUUUUCUGGUGCACACACUAAUUCUAAGUCACUUGCAGGUGCGGAGGCUCGGGUAUGCAUGUCCCCUAGCAAGUUCUAUAAAAGGAGCCCUUGCAAGAACGUGCGUUGCACCGCGGCCUGUCACAAAGAGCACUUCAAGGGUGGUUACUGCUCCAGUAAGAAGUCAAUUGUAGGCGACGAGCUCAAGGAAGACAACGACGACAACCGCUUUCGCAAACCUCCUAAGAAAACGAGGUGCAUCUGUACAUUUCCAUGCGGCUCUAAGGCCCCACCACCACCGUCAGAACCUGAAGUGCCAGAGCCACCGGGUGAACCCGUGGUGCCGGAGCCGCCAUCCAAAGAUCCUAAGAAGAAGCCGCCACCGCCGCCAUAUGAACGUGGCAUGCCGGUGCCGCCCUCGAGAGAACACAAGAAGAAGCUGCCGCCAGCUGCCGACCAGUGAGCAAAUGGUCUAGUCCGCCUAUCCGAGGAAAAUGAUUUUAAUAAGAGAGGAAUUAAUCAACGCUUGACUUGUACACAUGCAUAAUUGAUUGCAUGACAAUAAUAAUAAUCCUUUUUUGAACUGAGUAAUAAUAAUCUUGGUACUGUUAAAGGGACCCUAUCGCUGUGAUGGUUCCACCUUCUCGCACCCCUCCUACAUUCCCAUGCAGCCAACACUAAUCUUUUUUCCCUCGUACGAACCCCGCAUAUCCAACGAGUUGUUGGAGAUACGCCCUAGAGGCAAUUAUGUAUGAUGAUAUUUCCUAUGUGUUUACGAGUAAAGAUAAUCCUUGGACAUUAUCAAUGAUGUAUAUCAAUAAGUACGUGACUUGUUUUUGAGACUAUGCAUUGUAUGAUGACUGUCCUAAAAGGUCCCUAGUCGCAAGGGCUGUGUGGACGCGCAGCUGACUAGACUAGCAUAUGACACGGUGGAUGGCUCGGUCUCACUAGCCAUGGAGCAUUGGAUGCUAACCGGAUACUAUGAACUUGGAAAGGUCUGGUCAGAUUCGACAUAGUCGGAUCCGAGUCGAUAUAAGGUAUGAGUCGGAUAGACCCAACUAUGAGACGCAGCGAUAUGUUAUCUGUGAGUCUCUAGUGCAACAUACGUUCUAUGUCCUAGGACCAGAGCUGACCCAUGUACUCGGGAUGGUGGCAGGCCUGCUUUGGGCUGACCAAACGCUACUCCAUGACUGGGUAGUUAUAAAGGUAGGUUUCGGGCUUGUCCAGACCAUGUUGCGAGACAUGAUCGUGCAAGAUGGGAUUUUCCCCUCCGAUCAGGAGAGAUAUACUCUGGACCCCUCGUAUGAUCCGACCAAGAUAAGCAUGGCCAUGCGAUAAGGAUUAUGAGAUAAUCUGGUUAGUGGUCGGCAUCACUGGAAUGAGAAAGAGGUCGGGCUAGCACAAGGAUGACAAACUCGCCUUCAGCCCGACAACAUAUAUCGUGUGGCAAAGGGAACAAAAGUGUGAUGUACAUGUUCGCCAACCAGCUUCAUAGUCUGCUUGGUGGUCGGCACGCCUUGCUAGAGGCCGCUACCAACCGUGUGUUCGGGAACGUAGCAAUAAUUCAAAAUUUUCUACGCAUCACCAAGAUCAAUCUAUGGAGUUUACUAGCAACGAGAGGGGAGGAGUGCAUCUACAUACCCUUGUAGAUCGCGAGCGGAAGCGUUCAAGAGAACGGGGUUGAUGGAGUCGUACUCGUCGUGAUCCAAAUCACCGAUGAUCCAAGCGCCGAACGGACGGCACCUCCGCGUUCAACCCACGUACGGAGCGGUGACGUCUCCCAUGCCUUGAUCCAGCAAGGAGGAGGGAGAGGUUGAGGAAGAAGGCUCCAACAGCAGCACGACGGCAUGGUGGUGAUGGAGUGACAGUUCUCCGGCAGGGCUUCGCCAAGCACACGCGGAGGAGGAGAGGUGUUGGGGAGGGGAGGGGCUGCGCCUUGGAUGUGGUGCUGCAGCCCUCCCCUCACCCCUCUAUUUAUAGGGAGAAGGGGGAAGGGGGCCGGCCCCUCUAGAUGGGAUCUAGACGGGGGGCGGCGGCCAAGGGGGAGGUGGCUUGCCCCCCAAGCAAGGGGGGGGGGGGCGCCCCCUUUAGGGUUUCCCCCAAACCCCAGGCGCAUGGGCCCUAGGGGGGUUGGCGCCCAGCCCACUAAGGGCUGGUUCCCUUCCACCUACAGCCCAUAAGGCCCUCCGAGGCAGGCGGACCCUCCCGGUGGACCCCCGGAACCCCUCCGGUGGUCCCGGUACAAUACCGGUAUACCCCCGAAUAUUUCCGGUGACCGUAUGGUGACUUCCCAUAUAUAAAUCUUUACCUCCGGACCAUUUCGGAACUCCUUGUGACGUCCGGGAUCUCAUCCGGGACUCCGAACAACAUUCGGUAAUCACAUACAAACCUUCCUUAUAACCCUAGCGUCAUCGAACCUCAAGUGUGUAGACCCUACGGGUUCGGGAAUCAUGCAGACAUGACCGAGACACCUCUCUGGCCAAUAACCAACAGCGGGAUCUGGAUACCCAUGUUGGCUCCCACAUGUUCCACGAUGAUCUCAUCGGAUGAACCACGAUGUCGAGGAUUCAAGCAAUCCCGUAUACAAUUCCCUUUGUCAAUCGGUACGUUACUUGCCCAAGAUUCGAUCAUCGGUAUCCUAAUACCUCGUUCAAUCUCGUUGCCGGCAAGUCACUUUACUCGUUCCGUAAUGCAUGAUCCCGUGACUAACUACUUAGUCACAUUGAGCUCAUUAUGAUGAUGCAAUACCGAGUGGGCCCAGAGAUACCUCUCCGUAAUACGGAGUGACAAAUCCCAGUCUCGUUCCGAGCCAACCCAACAGACACUUUCGGAGAUACCUGUAGUGCACCUUUAUAGCCACCCAGUUACGUCGUGACGUUUGGUACACCCAAAGCAUUCCUACGGUAUCCGGGAGUUGCACGAUCUCAUCGUCUAAGGAAAUGAUACUUGACAUUAGAAAAGCUUCAGCAAACGAACUACAUGAUCUAGUGCUAUGCUUAUGAUUGGGUCUUGUCCAUCACAUCAUUCUCCUAAUGAUGUGAUCCCGUUAUCAAUGACAUCCAAUGUCCAUGGUCAGGAAACCGUAACCAUCUAUUGAUCAACGAGCUACUCAACUAGAGGCUCACUAGGGACAUGUUAUGGUCUAUGUGUUCACACAUGUAUUACGAUUUCCGGAUAACACAAUUAUAGCAUGAACAGUAGACAAUUAUCAUGAACAAGGAAAUAUAAUAAUAACCAUUUUAUUAUUGCCUCUAGGGCAUAUUUCCAACAGUCCCCCACUUGCACUAGAGUCAAUAAUCUAGUUACAUUGUGAUGAAUCGUACACCCAUAGAGUUCUGGUGUUGAUCAUGUUUUGCCCGUGGAAGAGGUUUAGUCAACGGAUCUGCGACAUUCAAAUCCGUAUGUACUUUACAAAUAUCUAUGUCUCCAUUUUGAACAUUUUCACGAACUGAGUUGAAGCGACGCUUGAUGUGCCUGGUCUUCUUGUGAAACCUGGGGUCUUUGGCAAGGGCAAUAGCUCCAGUGUUGUCACCGAAGAGAGUCAUCGGCCCCGAUGCAUUGGGAAUAACUCCUAGGUCGGCAAUGAACUCCUUCAUCCAGAUUGCUUCAUGUGCUGCCUCCGAGGCUGCCAUGUACUCCGCUUCACAUGUAGAUCCUGCCACGACGCUUUGCUUGCAACUGCACCAGCUGACCGCCCUACCAUUCAAAAUAUACACGUAUCCGGUUUGUGACUUAGAGUCAUCCAGAUCUGUGUCGAAGCUAGCAUCGACGUAACCCUUUACGACGAGCUCUUCGUCACCUCCAUAAACGAGAAACAUAUCCUUAGUCCUUUUCAGGUACUUCAGGAUGUUCUUGACCGCUGUCCAGUGUUCCAUGUCGGGAUUACUUUGGUACCUUCCUACCAGACUUACGGCAAGGUUUACAUCAGGUCUGGUACACAGCAUGGCAUACAUAAUAGACCCUAUGGCCGAGGCAUAGGGGACGACACUCAUCUUUUCUCUAUCUUCUGCCGUGGUCGGGCAUUGAGCCGUGCUCAAUCUCACACCUUGCAAUACAGGCAAGAACCCCUUCUUGGACUGAUCUAUAUUGAACUUCUUCAAUAUCUUGUCAAGGUAUGUGCUUUGUGAAAGACCUAUGAGGCGUCUCGAUCUAUCUCUAUAGAUCUUGAUGCCUAAUAUGUAAGCAGCUUCUCCAAGGUCCUUCAUUGAAAAACACUUAUUCAAGUAGGCCUUUAUACUUUCCAAGAAUUCUAUAUCAUUUCCCAUCAAUAGUAUGUCAUCCACAUAUAAUAUGAGAAAUGCUACAGAGCUCCCACUCACUUUCUUGUAAACACAGGCUUCUCCAUAAGUCUGUGUAAACCCAAACGCUUUGACAUCUCAUCAAAGCGAAUGUUCCAACUCCGAGAUGCCUGCACCAGCCCAUAAAUUGAGCGCUGGAGCUUGCAUACUUUGUCAGCAUUCUUAGGACCGAUAAAACCUUCCGGCUGCAUCAUAUACAAUUCUUCCUUAAGGAAGCCGUUAAGGAAUGCCGUUUUGACGUCCAUUUGCCAUAUUUCAUAAUCGUAGAAUGCGGCAAUUGCUAACAUGAUUCGGACGGACUUCAGCUUCGCUACGGGUGAGAAGGUCUCAUCGUAGUCAACUCCUUGAACUUUUCGAUAACCCUUAGCGACAAGUCGAGCUUUAUAGAUGGUAACAUUUCCAUCCGCGUCCGUCUUCUUCUUAAAGAUCCAUUUAUUUUCUAUCGCUCGCCGAUCAUCGGGCAAGUCUGUCAAAGUCCACACUUUGUUUUCAUACAUGGAUCCUAUCUCAGAUUGCAUGUCUUCAAGCCAUUUGUUGGAAUCUGGACCCGCCAUUGCUUCUUCAUAGUUCGAAGGUUCACCGUUGUCCAACAACAUGAUUUCCAGGACAGGGUUGCCGUACCACUCUGGUGCGGAACGUGUCCUUGUGGACCUACGAAGUUCAGUGGUAACUUGAUCAUGAUCGUCAUCAUUAACUUCCUCUCUAGUCGGUGCACGCACCACAUAAACAUUUUCUUGUGCUGCGCUACUUUCUGGUUCGAGAGGGGUCAUCUCAUCAAGUUCUACUUUCCUCCCACUUACUUCUUUUGAGAGAAACUCUUUCUCCAGAACGGACCCGUUCUUGGCAACGAAAAUCUUUCCUUCGGAUCUGAGGUAGAAGGUAUACCCAAUGGUUUCCUUAGGGUAUUCUAUGAAGACGCAUUUUUCCGACUUGGGUUCGAGCUUUUCAGGUUGAAGUUUCUUGACAUAAGCAUCGCAUCCCCAAACUUUAAGAAACGGCAGCUUAGGUUUCUUUCCAAACCACAAUUCAUACGGUGUCGUCUCAACGGAUUUCGACGGAGCCCUAUUUAAAGUGAAUGCGGCAGUCUCUAAAGCAUAACCCCAGAAUGAUAGCGGUAGAUCGGUAAGAGACAUCAUAGAUCGCACCAUAUCCAAUAGAGUGCGAUUACGACGUUCGGACACACCAUUACGCUGAGGUGUUCCAGGCGGCGUGAGUUGUGAAACAAUUCCACAUUUCCUUAAGUGUGUGCCAAAUUCGUGACUCAAAUAUUCCCCUCCACGAUCUGAUCGUAAGAACUUUAUUUUCCUGUCACGUUGAUUCUCAACCUCACUCUGAAAUUCCUUAAACUUUUCAAAGGUCUCAGACUUGUGUUUCAUUAAGUAGACAUACCCAUAUCUACUCAAGUCAUCAGUGAGGGUGAGAACAUAACGAUAGCCACCGCGAGCCUCAACGCUCAUUGGACCGCACACAUCAGUAUGUAUGAUUUCCAAUAAGUUGGUUGCUCGCUCCAUUGUUCCGGUGAACGGAGUCUUGGUCAUUUUGCCCAUGAGGCAUGGUUCGCAUGUGUCAAAUGAUUCAUAAUCAAGAGACUCCAAAAGUCCAUCUGCAUGGAGUUUCUUCAUGCGUUUGACACCAAUGUGACCAAGGCGGCAGUGCCACAAGUAUGUGGGACUAUCAUUAUCAACCUUACAUUUCUUGGCAGUCACACUAUGAAUAUGUGUAACAUCACGUUCGAGAUUCAUUAAGAAUAAACCAUUGACCAGCGGGGCAUGACCAUAAAACAUAUCUCUCAUAUAAAUAGAACAACCAUUAUUCUCGGAUUUAAAUGAGUAGCCAUCUCGCAUUAAACGAGAUCCAGAUACAAUGUUCAUGCUCAAAGCUGGCACUAAAUAACAAUUAUUGAGGUUUAAAACUAGUCCCGUAGGUAAAUGUAGAGGUAGCGUGCCGACGGCGAUCACAUCGACCUUGGAACCAUUCCCGACGCGCAUCGUCACCUCGUCCUUCGCCAGUCUCCGCUUAUUCCGCAGCUCCUGCUUUGAGUUACAAAUAUGAGCAACCGCACCGGUAUCAAAUACCCAGGAGCUACUACGAGCGCUAGUUAGGUACACAUCUAUAACAUGUAUAUCACAUAUACGUUUGGUAUUGCCGGCCUUCUUAUCCGCUAAGUACUUGGGGAAGUUCCGCUUCCAGUGACCGUUUCCCUUGCAAUAAAAGCACUCAGUCUCAGGCUUGGGUCCAUUCUUUGUCUUCUUCCCGGCAGCUUGCUUACCGGGCGCGGCAACUCCCUUGCCGUCUUUCUUGAAGUUCUUCUUGCCCUUGCCUUUCUUGAACUUAGUGGUUUUAUUCACCAUCAACACUUGAUGUUCCUUUUUGAUCUCCACCUCCGCUGAUUUCAGCAUUGAAUAUACCUCAGGAAUGGUCUUUUCCAUCCCCUGCAUAUUGAAGUUCAUCACAAAGCUUUUGUAGCUAGGUGGGAGCGACUGAAGGAUUCUGUCAACGACCGCGUUAUCCGGGAGAUUAACUCCCAGCUGAGACAAGCGGUUGUGCAACCCAGACAUUUUGAGUAUGUGUUCGCUGACGGAACUAUUCUCCUCCAUCUUACAACUGUAGAACUUGUCGGAGACUUCGUAUCUCUCGACCCGGGCAUGAGCUUGGAAAUCCAUUUUCAGCUCUUGGAACAUCUCAUAUGCUCCGUGCUGCUCAAAACGCUUUUGGAGCCCCGGUUCUAAGCUGUAAAGCAUGCCGCACUGAACCAGGGAGUAAUCAUCACUACGUGAUUGCCAGGCGUUCAGAACGUCUUGAGUUGCUGGGAAAACAGGUGCAUCACCUAGCGGUGCUUCAAGGACAUAUGCUUUCUUGGCAGCUAUGAGGAUAAUCCUCAGGUUACGGACCGAGUCCGUGUAGUUGCUACCAUCGUCUUUCAGCUUGGUUUUCUCUAGGAACGCGUUGAAGUUGAGGGCAACAUUAGCGUGGGCCAUUUGAUCUACAAGACAUAUUGUAAAGGUUUUUAGACUAAGUUCAUGAUAAUAAAGUUCAUCUAAUCAAAUUACUAACGAACUCCCACUCAGACAGACAUCCCUCUAGUCAUCUAAGUGAUACAUGAUCCGAGUCAACUAGGCCAUGUCCGAUCAUCACGUGAGACGGACUAGUCAUCAUCGGUGAUCAUCUUCAUGUUGAUCGUAUCUGCUAUACGACUCAUGUUCGACCUUUCGGUCUCUUGUGUUCCGAGGCCAUGUCUGUACAUGCUAGGCUCGUCAAGUCAACCUAAGUGUAUUGCGUGUGUAAAUCUGGUUUACACCCGUUGUAUGCGAACGUUAGAACCUAUCACACCCGAUCAUCACGUGGUGCUUCGGAACAACGAACCUUCGCAACGGUGCACAGUUAGGGGGAACACUUUCUUGAAAUUUUAGCGAGGGAUCAUCUUAUUUAUGCUACCGUCGUUCUAAGCAAAUAAGAUGUAAAACAUGAUAAACAUCACAUGCAAUCAAAUAGUGACAUGAUAUGGCCAAUAUCAUUUUGCUCCUUUUGAUCUCCAUCUUCAGGGCGCCAUGUUCAUCAUCGUCACCGGCAUGACACCAUGAUCUCCAUCAUCGUGUCUUCAUGAAGUUGUCUCGCUAAUUAUUACUUCUACUACUAUGGCUAACGGUUAGCAAUAAAGUAAAGUAAUUACAUGACGUUUCAGUUGACACGCAGGUCAUAAAUAAAUUAAGACAACUCCUAGGCUCCUGCCGGUUGUCAUACUCAUCGACAUGCAAGUCGUGAUUCCUAUUACAAGAACAUGAUCAAUCUCAUACAUCACAUAUAUCAUUCAUCACAUCCUUCUGGCCAUAUCACAUCACAUAACACUUGCUGCAAAAACAAGUUAGACGUCCUCUAAUUGUUGUUGCAAACUUUUACGUGGCUGCUAUAGGUUUCUAGCAAGAACGAUUCUUACCUACGCCAAAACCACAACGUGAAAUGCCAAUUUCUAUUUACCCUUCAUAAGGACCCUUUUCAUCGAAUCCGAUCCGACUAAAGUGGGAGAGAUAGACACCCGCUAGCCACCUUAUGCAACUAGUGCAUGUCAGUCGGUGGAACCUGUCUCACGUAAGCGUACGUGUAAGGUCGGUCCGGGCCGCUUCAUUCCACGAUGGCGCCGAAUCAAGAUAAGACUAGUAACGGCAAGUAAAUUGACAAAAUCAACGCCCACAACAACUUGUGUUCUACUCGUGCAUAGAAACUACGCAUAAACCUGGCUCAUGAUGCCACUGUUGGGGAACGUAACAAUAAUUCAAAAUUUUCUACGCAUCACCAAGAUCAAUCUAUGGAGUUUACUAGCAACGAGAGGGGAGGAGUGCAUCUACAUACCCUUGUAGAUCGCGAGCGGAAGCGUUCAAGAGAACGGGGUUGAUGGAGACGUACUCGUCGUGAUCCAAAUCACCGAUGAUCCAAGCGCCGAACGGACGGCACCUCCGCGUUCAACACACGUACGGAGCGGUGACGUCUCCCACGCCUUGAUCCAGCAAGGAGGAGGGAGAGGUUGAGGAAGAAGGCUCCAACAGCAGCACGACGGCGUGGUGGUGAUGGAGUGACAGUUCUCCGGCAGGGCUUCGCCAAGCACACGCGGAGGAGGAGAGGUGUUGGGGAGGGGAGGGGCUUCGCCUUGGAUGUGGUGCUGCAGCCCUCCCCUCACCCCUCUAUUUAUAGGGAGAAGGGGGAAGGGGGCCGGCCCCUCUAGAUGGGAUCUAGAGGGGGGCGGCGGCCAAGGGGGAGGUGGCUUGCCCCCCAAGCAAGGGGGGGAGGGGCGCCCCCUUUAGGGUUUCCCCCAAACCCUAGGCACAUGGGCCCUAGGGGGUUGGCGCCCAGCCCACUAAGGGCUGGUUCCCUUCCACCUACAGCCCAUAAGGCCCUCCGGGGCAGGUGGACCCUCCCGGUGGACCCCCGGAACCCCUCCGGUGGUCCCGGUACAAUACCGGUAUACCCUCGAAUAUUUCCGGUGACCGUAUGGUGACUUCCCAUAUAUAAAUCUUUACCUCCGGACCAUUCCGGAACUCCUCGUGACGUCCGGGAUCUCAUCUGGGACUCCGAACAACAUUCGGUAAUCACAUACAAACCUUCCUUAUAACCCUAGCGUCAUCGAACCUUAAGUGUGUAGACCCUACGGGUUCGGGAAUCAUGCAGACAUGACCAAGACACCUCUCUGGCCAAUAACCAACAGCGGGAUCUGGAUACCCAUGUUGGCUCCCACAUGUUCCACGAUGAUCUCAUUGGAUGAACCACGAUGUCGAGGAUUCAAGCAAUCCCGUAUACAAUUCCCUUUGUCAAUCGGUACUUUACUUGCCCGAGAUUCGAUCGUCGGUAUCCCAAUACCUCGUUCAAUCUCGUUACCGGCAAGUCACUUUACUCGUUCCGUAAUGCAUGAUCCCGUGACUAACUACUUAGUCACAUUGAGCUCAUUAUGAUGAUGCAUUACCGAAUGGGCCCAGAGAUACCUCUCCGUCAUACGGAGUGACAAAUCCCAGUCUCGAUCCGAGCCAACCCAACAGACACUUUCGGAGAUACCUGUAGUGCACCUUUAUAGCCACCCAGUUACGUCAUGACGUUUGGUACACCCAAAGCAUUCCUACGGUAUCCGGGAGUUGCACGAUCUCAUCGUCUAAGGAAAUGAUACUUGACAUUAGAAAAGCUUCAGCAAACGAACUACACGAUCUAGUGCUAUGCUUAGGAUUGGGUCUUGUCCAUCACAUCAUUCUCCUAAUGAUGUGAUCCCGUUAUGAAUGACAUCCAAUGUCCAUGAUCAGGAAACCGUAACCAUCUAUUGAUCAACGAGCUAGUCAACUAGAGGCUCACUAGGGACAUGUUAUGGUCUAUGUGUUCACACAUGUAUUACGAUUUUCGGAUAACACAAUUAUAGCAUGAACAAUAGACAAUUAUCAUGAACAAGGAAAUAUAAUAAUAACCAUUUUAUUAUUGCCUCUAUGGCAUAUUUCCAACACCGUGCAGGUCGGAGGUGAUGCGAACUAUGGCCAAGCUGACAUGAACCUAAGGGGUCGCGCGCUUAAGGGAAGGAACCUACGAGGUCGGAUCCGAGGACACUGAUCGGAUGUGAUCCGAGCUGAACUUGGAUUGUGGCCGAGUAGACUUGUGGGCUUUAGGAUUCGUGUGAGUCCCAAGUGUUGAGCCCAUGAGGGAUGCCUAUAUAUAGUGGGGGUGCGGCACACUCAUUCGGUUGAUCGCUUCAGCGCCGUCACUAGGGUUUUGCAUGUGUUGCAACUAUCCACAUCCACUCACCGACGACUGUGUGAUCGGACCUAGCAGUCCGCCGCAUGGUGUUCCUCCUACACGUGCGGAUAUCGUUAGAGACGGCGCACUUACGCCGCUCCGGCAAACCUGUUUGGGCGAUCCGAUCGACUGCGUGGGAGAUCGACGAGGAGGAGACGACUCGGGAGACGCGCUGCCUCAACUCUACUUCUGCUGCACGGCACUGCGCGUCUAGUGGUAACGAUCUGUGAUCCAUCUCUGUAGCAUGUUUCUGGAUGUUCUGCGGGUAGGAAAAUUUUAAUUUGCGGUCAACGCACCCUACCAUAGAACCCAACACAAGCCAACACCUAUUUUUCCCUUGUGUGACCCUUCCUCGGUCUCUCCCACCCAGCCCACCGAUCCUCCCAUCCACGCUCGGAAAUAAGCAAAGGAAAAGGAAAAGGGAGACGUUUCAGGACGACAGGCCGGCGGAAACUUCAGCCACUAGUCAUGGGAUUAGUUUUGAUCCAACUGACCAUACUGCAUUUCACGCAGGUCCACAUACCUCCCAUCUCUCCCUUAUCUCUUCACAUAUGACGCAAACUCCUCCACAGCAGCCAUGGCCACUACCUCCAGCGCGGGGCCAUGGCCGAGCCCACCUGGCGACGCGACUGCUCGCACACGCAAAACACCAUGUGCCUGAAGCGGUUGGGGAGGUAGUCGGGGCAGGAGGACCGUGUGUUGCAUCCUUGCUGGUGAUUGGGGAUGGCGAGCUAAGGAGUCGGCAACAGAGCAUGCUACAACUGACGGCGGGGGAGCUGGAACCUGGAUGGAGGGAGCUGCAACCGGUGCCCAAGAGAGCUGCAAUCAUGGACGGCGAGCGCGGGGACCAUAGGCUGUGAAGACGGCGGUGCUGCUCCGAGCGACACCCGACGUCCCGGUUUUUUGCUAAUGCUACAACCCGCGUCAUAAAUUGCUACAACUGGUGUGUCCCAUCGCGCUGCAACUGGCAUCGCAUUUUGCUACAUCGCGUAGAAUGUCCUAUGUUUUGCUACAUCCAGCAUAGCCAAAUGCUACAACCGCCGUCAUGGCAAGCUGCAAUUGGAAGUGCGGCGAGUUGUGAUGGCUUAGCGGCGAGACGGUUUUUGUAGCAACCGACGCUUGAAUUUGCUAGAACCAGGCGAGGGAGACGUUGCAACGGUGUGGUGCGACCGAGUAGCUUAGACACCGGGCGUGUGCGACGAUGAGCACGCCGCCGAGCUGCGGCUGCCGCCACCGGAGCUACAACAGUGGGCCAUAGUUGUUGCAUGCAUGCGUGGAGUGGGCGACAAAUGCAGGCGGUGGCCGGCGGCAAGUGCGCCAACCGGCGACGAGGACGGUCGGCAAUGGCGGCAACCGGUGAGGAGGAAUGAGGUGGUCGGCUCAUCGCUGGAUGUGUUAAGAGGCAAGGGGAAGAAGACGAAGAGCGAUGCAAGUGGGCACCCAGCGAACCGAUUUCUUCCUUCCACGAGCCACCGAGCUGUUUUCUAGACCGUAUGGCUGCAUGCACGAUCGUACGGCUGUGCGGUGACCGGCCCAAUUUGGGCCGAUCGACCGGCUCGUGUUGGUUGGCGCACUACCCACGAACACAUGUCCACACACCCCAUCUCCCCUAUCACGUCACUCUGCCCACACCCGAGAAAAUUCGUUUGAGCACCAAAGUGUCGCAGGCUGCAACAUCCUUUGACAUAGAGACAAGCGCAUGCAGGGAAAGAGACAUGAGCGGGAGGGGGAUGGGGUCAACGCCCCCGUGAGCAUGUUGUCGACCGCUGCUGGAGGGGGAUUAUGAUGGGGUUAAUUUGAAGCAUGGGGAGAGAGCACUAAGGAAGGGCGUCACAUUGGGGAUCGAUUUGGCCUUGAUCCGGGUCGCUAGAAUACAAGCCAUGCCCAAGCCACUCUAUGGACGCCCCAGACUGAGGUCGCGGCUCGCCGUGGGUGCAUCCACAUCGGCGCGGUGGCGUGCAGUUCCUGCACCCAGCGUAAGCUGUGAAACCUGGGAAAGACGCGAGAUCAGAUGUUCCUCACAACCUGAAGACGUGAGCUAUGCCACUGCUCCUGGUAUGUGUGUUACUUCCGCUGGGUGAUGCUCUGUUGCCCUCCUAGGUAUCUUCUUUACUUCUCUUGCUGCUCGAUGAAGCUGGUCGUGCUGCUAGUUUUGCACGCUAUGGAGUUUCUAUCUCUACAUACGAUAAAUUUAGUAUCGGUCUACACAUGUGUUUGUACCAAUGUUCAAGACCUAGGUGAUGAUAUAGUUUUGACUUAUAAUGAUCAGAUUAUGUAUACCUUUUUGGGGGAUACAUUAUUAAGUACUGGGAAAAGAGGUGUAUGUAUUGUAUCUCGGUGUGGAACAUUCAUUUUUAACUGAAUCUAUAUGUUUAUUCAAUCUGAACUUAGAUGUUUUAUUUAGCUUGUACUCGUUCUGUAAAGAAAUAUAAGAUCGUUUAGAUCACUAUACUAGCUUCUGAUUUCCUAUGCUGCAAAUUGUAAUUGAUUUUCUUUAAUUAGUUGUGGACUUUCAUACUACAGUUGGCUAAUGCACUUAAUUGGUAUCAUUUCUAGUUUGAUAAUAAAUGCAUGUAUGUCUAAUUUGGAUCUUGGCUAGAGCAUCAACUGUGUGAGAAAUUAAUGCAGCUAAAGUAUUGGACUCAUCUAUAGAUUGGCAUCAUUCUAGUUUACACCUUAACCUAAUAAUUGAGAUUGGGACCCCUUUCCUAAUUAAUGAUAAUCAUUGUAAUCAGUAAUUGAUUCAGUAUUACUUGGGAAUAAGUAGGGAUAUUUUCACUCCAAAAUAUUCCAAUUUUGUGGAACUUGACCAGUCAGGAUCAAUUCUUCCAUUCCACAGCUUGCUUCGUUAUGGAGCAAUAAUCCAUGACUCCAGAUGUUGGAGUUUCUCCCUUUCAGUUUCCUUGGAUGUUGAAGUGUAUGGUUCGGAACUUCAUCUAUGGAUUUGGUUUGGUUCAUGCAAAGAAUUGGUAGACAUUUUUGUUAAUUUGGUAGGCCCUUUGCAGCAGUAGAUUCUUUUUCAUGUAGAUAUGCCAUGCUUACUAUUUGACAUGAAUACUUCGUGUUGUGCUUAUUAGCUCUAAUAUACUUUGUGUUUACUUAUACUAGCGGCUGGGGUGUGCCUCGGGUGCACCUCUUGAGGCGUAACUGUGUGGACAAAUCAAGUUGUUGUAGUUGUUAAUGUGUUGACAGUGCAUAUAAGAGAAAAUGGUUAAAAAUAUAACACAACUCUGAGAAUAGAAAAUUAAUAGUGAUUCUGGAGCAACUCGGUGCAACAUGAAAUGAAUCAAUAUUUACCAUGCCAUUGAGAUCAAAAGAACAAACAAACGAACUUUACAAACUUUGUAAAUUAUUUAGCUAAUCCAAGACCCUUCCAAACACUAUUUUGAUCACACUACAUAUUAUAUAAAUUUGGCCAGCUUUGGCAAAAAUCAAGAACAAUAUCGAGCUCUAGCAAUUGGUUGGAGCAAAGAACAUAGAGCCCCCUUUCAGGGAAAUUAGAGAGAGAAGUUAGACUAGCCUUAGGCCAAUGGGACGCAAACCUUUAUGUUUUUCUUUUAUCUCUUUUGUCCAUAUUAUCAUUUGAUCAAACCCAAUUUACCAGUUGCCGCUGCUAAAUCAAUAAACGCUGGCAACAUGCUGGAUGUUUCAAAAACAAUUGGUUAGCUAUAAUCAUACAUCAUUUAGCAAACAACAAAGGUAUGAUUACAAAAGAUGAAAGCACCUUACAUGAGGUGAUUUUUCCAAAGUUGGCGAACAAGUAUGGUAGCUGAUCAUCUAAAAUGCCAUCAUGAGAAUUUUCCAAGCACAAGUUUCUUCUUUGAUAUUUCUCCACUGCAUUUUUCAUGCCUUGCUCAAAUCUUAUGUUCAAGUCUAUGUCCCUUUUAGGUUUCUUAUGAGCUUUAUCAACAUACCACUUUAUUAGAAUACAAAACAAAAAUCAUGAAGUGUAAACUUACAUGCAUGGUGAUAUUAUGCAUAUAGAAACAGAAGUUCAGAAUUGAAAAACUAAAUCAAUCGUUAGACGAGAUGUACCAUCAUUUUCCAGCAAGGGUUGGACCAUCUCAGACAUGGAGAGUUUUCUCUCCAACUAUCAGCAGUGCAACCGACGCAAAUUAUGAACACCAAACUCCGUUGUGAUGCAAGAUUGUGUUAAGAAUCAGUUCAACCUUUCUCUAUAAUAGAAUAAUUGUCCACUUCAAAAAGUACAAAUUUUCACUUUGAAUCAUAGCAAUAAUCUAUGCAUGCUGCUUUUUUCACAAUGGAUAACUUACUGACUGUUUAGCUGCCCACCGUUGAUAAUAAUGGAUAACUAAGUUGGUUCUAACUUUUGCUCCUGAUUUCUUGAGCGACGAGUUCCAAAUGUGUGAACCUUUUGAGUUUUGUGGGCAUCAAGCAAUGAACAUGCAACCUGGUAAUGUGACUGAUUUUUUGUAUUUGUAUAUUAUGUAAACAAUGGACAAGUAUUUAUCCAUUAUUUUUUAGUUUGUAAACUAAAAUUGAUUACAUAGCAAAAUUCAAUGGUCUAUCCAUAACGCCAAUAACCAAAAUUAUUAAGCUAAAAAAGUCGAAAUGGUUAACUAGUUAUUCAACAGCGCCGUAAAGCAUGCCUAUACAUCUAGUGCCCUCAUCAAUGUUGAUGGCUAACAUAGGCGAGUCACUGCCAAGGAUGUUCACUCACUGACAACGGCCACCCCUGCAAGCAACCGUUGAAGUUGAGCUCAGUCUAAUAAGGAUGUGCCAAAGGACAAUUUCAAAUUGAGUCGAGCACCUGAUGCAAAAAUGGCUCUACCACAACUUGCGGAGAAGAGAAAGAGAAGUACGGUUCAUCUAAUAUAUUUUUUGGAACAUGUCUCAUGAGGGGGGAGGAAUCCCCACUUGAAUAUUGAUUAUUGAAGAAAUAGGUCCAGUUUAUGAGGUAGACCAUGUCGAAACACAUGAUCUGAUUUAUGAAGGAAACCAGAUCAAAGAACUUGAUCCAGUUUAUAAGGAAAACAGGAUCAAAAACCAUACAACCCAAGAGGCAAGGCCAUGAAACACAAAAACAACCCAUACAUAGUUGCAACACGGUGCGAGGUCCAACAAACUAAAACUGAUAGGUGGUUGGUUGGAGCAGCACAGGUUAUGCAAAACCAUCUACAAGGCAUCACUAGCAAGACAAGAAGGUGCCAAACUCAGAGGUCGUGGCGAUAACACACGAGCAACAGCAACAUCGAAACCAUUGAAAUGAUAACAUAGGGUUCCACCACCAGGAUGUUACACCAUUGCCAAUCCUAUCGAUCGAGCGCCCAACAUUAGGGCCGAGUUGCCCAUGCCAAGGUGACGAUGGCAAGGGGGUAUAAGCCGGCUCCAUGAGAAUGCAUAGAGAGAAAGACAAAUCACCACCGAAAGGGAUGUUAGAUGGUGGGAAGUAACGAAGGAGUGACAUGCUCACGAGUCACGUAGAGCCAUUACAAGAAAAUAUCUCCACCAGGACAAACAUAGAUAAUGAUGUAGUGUAAAUGGAGGACACUCACAACCACAAGUUGGAAAACAAAUGAUCCAAGUAGAGACCGGACGGGUUAUUGCAACGAGAGAAAACAUUACAAGAAGAGGAGAUUACAUGGUUGCCGAGGAAAACAUGAACACAAUGGGUCGUAGAAGAUCCAAGAUCCCAUGUUGUGUGAAGUGGAACUCCACAACAACGCCUCCAGGAAGGUAAGCGGCGCCUGAAUGGUGUCGUCAUUGCUGCCGCCAGCAAGGAGCUAGCAGAUGGAUUUGUCCCGAAGACAGAGCAGCAGAAGGUCAAGCGGCCCCGUCCAAAGAGCCAGCAACAAAUGGCCGUGGAGGCAUUGAAACAAGGGAGCACAGGUCGAAGGGAGUAGGCAGAAGAAACAGAGGAUGGUGAGCGGCUGAGGCUAGUCCGCGGGGUAGAAGUAUCACCGCCACCGCCUGAGGCCACGCAAGGAGGUCUAGAUCUCUGAUGAGCAGGACCAAACUACGACCGCAAGCGCGUGCCGCACGGGGGCGUAGAGGCGAACAACAUGAGCAGAGGCCAAAUAGGGUGAAUAUGCACGAUACGGUGAAGCACAAGUCACCGUAGCGAGAAGGGUGGAGUGGAUCCGGCCAAUGGGAGUAGUAGCUGCAAGGGGAGGGGCGAGCGCUACUUAGGAGUGCGGGGAGGAAGACGAUGCCGAUGUGACGGGACCUAGAGAGGAGCGAGAAGGAACUGAGAGAGGGGGUGCUUGGCACUUGGUCUCAAGUUGCCAUGGUCGAAGCCAGGGCGAGGAGAGGCGCCACUAGCCAAGGGACAAGGAUGAAUGGUGGGCACGCUUGGAGGCUAAGACUGAUGGCGACUGCAACAUGUGCUAUAUGGUGACGGCAAACAGUCCGGCACACCACAAUGGAGACAAGCACAUGCCCAUCGGAGUGUGUAGCGCACGGAGGCGGGUCGUGGAUGUCGACGCACCGGGUGGCCCUUGCUGUGAGCAUCAAGCCACACCAGGAUGUGGAGCACAAUGGAGACCACAUGCAGCAGCUGGAGCAGGCCAAGGAUGAUUGCACGAAGCAUAUAGAGGUGGGUUGUUGUCGGCGCUAGUGUGUAGGAGGUGUAUGGGGCAUGAAUCCCGGUCAGCAACAACGGGGCGGAUCUAGAUCUGGCGGGAGGAAAUGGAGCGGAGGCGCAUACGUGGGGCGUGCGUGCCCUCGUCGCCGUCGCCAGCCGCUUGGCUUUGCACAUAGGGUUCCUCCAGCGCGCGAUGGUGGCGGUUAUGCUUUUGGUGUGGCGUCGGGGUGGCCUCCGGAGUCACGAGGGUUGGCGACCUAGGUGGCUAGGUAUCUCCCCAUGUUUGUCAGAUUUGGGCUGAUGGAUCAAGCUACUCACACAAACUCACUCAUAAACAAGGCAAGAUUUUGUAAUUUAACUCAUUCCAGCAUGCGCAUCUUGCAACAUGUUGAUCACACGCUACAUGGCAUUGUUCUCUUCAAGGCAACACUUAUUAAUACUCCCUCCGUUUUUAUUUACUCCGCAUAUUAGAGUUGAAUGAAGUCAAACUUUGUAAAGUUUGACCAAAUAUAUAGAAAAUAAUAUAAAUAUUUACCAUAAAAAGUCAAUAUAAUGUGGAAGUACAUUCAACAAUGAAUCUAAUGGUAUUGAUUUGUUAUUGUAUAUGUUAAUAUUUUUGUCUAUAAACUUUGUCAAAGUUUGCAAAGCUUGACUUUGACCAAAGCUAAUAUGCGAAGUAAAUAAAAACGGAGGGAGUAUCUCUUAAUUGGUCUAUUUAUUGUAUGCAAUCUCUUUGUACUCAUGCUUCAUUUAUCUGUGAGUUCUGUAAUGUUUAAAAUAGAAAUGCACGUUAGUAUAUGAGAAUCUAAAUCUACCUAGAAACCUGGGUUAUGUUCAAUGUAGAUGCAUCAAGUCGACAAAUAGUAUCUAUCUAUCUAUCUAUCUAUCUAUCUAUGUAUCUUCUAUUAUCUAUCUAUACACACACACACACACACAGAGAGAGAGAGAGAGAGAGAGAGAGAGAGAGAGAGAUUUAACUCAUAAAGAUAAAAAAUACUACACACAACACUAUAUAUGGAGUGGCUACAUACUUUGCAUGGUGAUUGAACUCAGAGAAAAUACAUGUUUCUCAAGGAAACACCAACAACAAAGUCUUAUUUUUUGUGGGAAAACAACAACAAAGUCUUUAGUCCCAAACAAGUUGGGAUAGGCUAGAGGUGAAACCCACAAGAUCUCGCGACCUACUCAUGGCUCUGGCACAUGGAUAGCAAGCUUCCACACACCAUUGUCCAUGGCUAGGAAAGAGUAAAAAAAAAAGUUAUCAGUACAAUUUCCCUAAUGAAAAAACACAUAUAUUCUUAGGUAAUGUACCGACAAAGGCAUCACCAAUGCAUAACAUAAGUAUAUCAUUCAUGACUAUAUGUUUGAACCGAAGAUGUACCUUUUUACAUAUACAUAUUUAAAUUUAACCAUUGUAUAUUAUGCGUUAUCAGUGAGAAAGCAUUCAUUAGCUUCAACACAACUUACGCAUGAACUAAAUUAGCUCAAUCCAUACUUUUAAAAAUUAUGAUAGUACGAAAUGUUUAUUUUAAAAUCUAAAAUACAUUUAAAAUGACAAAAUAUAGGUUCUAACAUAUGAAAUUAUGAAUUAGAAAAACCGAGGGCACAAAUGCAUGCCCACAAGUAAAUACAUUCUCGGACCAUAUUUGUGAAUUGAAAAUGUUUUUUUCAUACAUACAUAUUUAAAUUUAAUGGUUCUAUAUUAUUCGUUAUUAGUUAAAAAAAUAAUGAGUUUUAACACACCUUAAGAAUGAACUAAAUGAGCUCAAUCAAUAAUUUGAAAACUUAUGAUAGAACAAAACAUAGCUUCUAGCAUGUGAAAUUGUAAAUUGAAAAAAUCUAGCCGUGCAAAUGCGCGGGUGACCCCCCGCUAGUUCUUUCAAAAGAAAGAAGAUGAUGGUCUCUCUUUUAAGUAGUAGCAGAACCCAGAAACAAGAGAACUACACAAAUUGCAGGCUACAUAAUCAAACAACUAACAUAAUGAUUGAUAAUGAUUGAACAGAGAAUCAGUUCCACGGAGAAACAGAAUUUGAAACUUGGAGACUUUGAUAAAACCCAAGACCACUAUAAGAAUAUAGUUUGCAUGAAAACAACAUGAAAAAACAUGCACAUGAGCUUGUUUAUGUGCCACGUACAACAUUAAAGAGACUCGGUAAAUCGUCGUCAUGAUUCAUCUUAUUCAUCCUUUGCCUGGGAGAAACAUUUGAUGUUCCAUUGAAUAAGGUAGGCAUGAGUUUGUAUACAAUCCUACAUCUUAUGAGGCUUGUAAGCUCGCCUUAGGAGUAAUAGAAACAAGGCUUGCAGUGUAAUACAGUAGCUCAAACACACAUAAAUUUUCCCAUGCAUGGCCCAAGGUGUCUUCACUCGGCCCAAGGAACCUUAGGUCAUCCAUAUCAAAUAUAUCCUCUUCUUUUACACCAUGAGCUUUCAUGUAAUAACGGAUUAGGCAAUGACCUCGUCGUAAGAGAGACCCAGCAGCGAUGCUAAGUGAGGCCACUGGACAGCAGUGAUCUGAGACAUUGAUUACAUAAUGGCAAUCCCACUCUGGAUUCACAAUAUCUCUUGCCAUCCAGACCAAUACUUGUUGCACAGACUUGCUAAAGAAAGUAGCACAUAAUUCCCCGUCAAGCUCAUGGAGAACAAUAUCAUCAUCUUCAACUGUAGGGUACACGUUGUUAAGCAAUGGAGUGAUACCAAAUGUUUCAUCUUGAAGGCAGAAACGAAGCAGCGCCCGCGGGGGACAUUGAUGAUUUUUCAUAUCUAUUAAAUAGAAUAGGGAACCCUUGCAGUGUAUGGCAGUUUGUGGACACACAAUAGGGUAUGGUGGAUCCAGCAAGGUUUCCCUCCAGUUGCCCUCGUCACCAUUAAUGGUGAAGACCUCCAUCCCCAUUGCAACAGAACUGUGAUCACAGGAACGGUAGAAAGACCGUGCAACCUUAUAUGUUCCAGUGGAAACAUCAAGGCGAAACCAAUCGGAAGGCAAGUGGAGUGCUGCAACAUAUUGCGGUGGCACUUGGGGAGCGCAACAGCAUCUCUAGUGGCUGGGUUGAAGACAUAAGCGUGGGUGUUUGUGGGGAGCAACACCAACCCAUCACAGUGUGACAUUUGGGACACCAGUGCGAACUCGCCUGUGGGGAACUGCCUCCCAUAAAGGAGUGUUGCACUACUACUGCUCCUACUCAUGUCAUCUUGUUGUAUAGACCACAGGUAGAAACGGAUGUUGGUGGAGAAAAGACCCAAAGGGUUUGGUUCCAGAUAAAUGUGGGGGGUGACGAGGAAGGAAGAUGGGUUGCGUUGUUGUUUCUGUUUGGAGCAGUGGAGGUGCGCACGAACAAAAACAGGGUCAGAGAUGAUAGCGUACCAGGCCUUGCUAACCAACUUAAACCUCACCAGGGACUCCACGGGUAGCCGGAUCAAGAUCUCCCACACCAUCACGUCCAAUAACAGCCCGCUUAUAGGCUGCGAACUCAUCGUCCUUUGCUUCCUCUGUGGCACACUCCCCGUCCUUUGCAUCCUCUGUGACUUCCUCUUCUUUAUUUUCCUGCAUCAUUAGCCGACUUCUUUGGAAAUGUACCAUUAACCCCCUUCAAGUCCACGCAGCAAGAAACAAAACCAAAAUAUAACUAGGAUCUUAAUAAUCUGUAUAUGCAAUGCACGGCACCGGCUACGCUGACACGAACGUGUAUGUGUAUAUAUACAGAUAUGUGCGUCUCCCUGGCCUGUUGGUAUCUUUCCCGGACACGGUGUCCGUCUUAGUAUAGGAGACGCACCAAAUUAUUGUUUUUCCCUUUUUGUCAGCAACAAAGGAUUCAGUGAGAUCCGAAACCUCAACAGAUCCGGUCAAAAGCUUUUGAUUCUCUCGGAGAAAAUAUAGUGAAAAGUACAGAAGAAAUAUUUAGGACGCCGAUAAGUGUCACACGUGUGGGCGUUAGGAGGUCUGCCCAUACAUUUUGUGUGGUGUAUAAGAGGAACAGCCCACACACCUACGUGUGGGCAAAACAAGUAAUGCCCACAUACCUUUUUUUCCCUCCCGAUCCCUCUCACACGCGUGCGUGUGGGCAAAAUAGAUAACGCCCACACGCCCCGUACAUCAGGCCUCGUACCUCGUGGUCCCGCACGCCCCGCGUGACAGUCACCGCGCGCCCGCAGUUGCCAUGGUCCAGACCCUCGUCCAUGUUCGUUUAACUGCAGUUGCCAUGUCGCUGAACUACGGUUGCCAUGUCGGACAACUACAGUUGCCAUGGUUGCUCAACUGCAGUUGCCAUCUCAUGCCAAAAGUUCCAGAUGUCAUUUUUGGGCAACUACGGCUGUUGCCAUGUAUGGUCUGGUUUACUAGAGUUGCCAUGAUUUGCAAACUUUAGGGGUUUGCCACCUACUAACACUAGGCAGUUGUCAUGUAUGGUCUGGUUUACUAUAGUUGUCAUGAUUUGAAAACCUUAGGAGUUGCCACCUACUAACACUAGACAGUUGCCGUGUAGCGCUAUAAAAAGACAUGGCAAAACAACAUGUUCGGGUAAAAAAGAGAGAGUUGCCAUCUGCUUACAAGCACACUAGGGCAGUUGUCAUGUACCCUGCAAAAUACAUGGCAACUGACAUGUUCAGGUAAAAAAAAAGUUGCCACCUGCUUAUAAAGCACAAUAGGCAGUUGCCAUGUACACUGCAAAACACAUGGCAAGUGGCAACUUGGGUGUGGGAGAUGAGACGGGCGUGUGGGCGAGAUGGCAAAUGCCCACAUACCAGCCCUUGUGCGUGAGUGCAAAUUGGCGUGUGGGCGAACUGCUGAACGCCCACACACCAGCCCCUCCGGUGUGGUGAAACGGCCAUGUGGGCGACCGGAUGAAUGCCCACACACCAGCCCAGUCCUACGUGGCACUAGAAACAUGCCAAGAUUCGUGCGCUCACCAACGGACGCGGAUUCACGCGUGUGGGCGAGAUGCAAACGCCCACAUGUAUGGACGUUAGUGUUUUUGAAUAUUUAAUGUGCUGGCAGAAAUUAGCAGAAACAUCCUUCUGUUGCCGUUGGUGUCGUCGCCGUCCAGCGGACUGGCCAUGGCUACAAGCUCGAUUGGAAAGGUCUUGCGCGUGGAGGCGGUUCUGAAGCUUCGGGAUUGGCGGAUGCUAGGCGUAAGCCGGCUGAUAAGAGCCAAACUUAAGCCGCCUCGUUAGCCACUCGAUCGGGCCAUCAGGAAGCGACAUCAGCCGUGGGAUCCAUCGAGUCAACCCACUCAGCUUUUCCCUUCGCGUUUCUUUUGGCGGCUGCAAACAGCGCGUACACUUUGCGUCGGAGAGAAAAAGCAGCAGCCCCAGUUCGCAGCGCCAUGGCACCCCCUGUCAGCUCGAGCGCCCGACGGCGAUGCUGCAAAACAGCAGGUGCCGCACACGGAGUUGUUUCGUUGAAGUAGCUGGUCAGUUGCAGACCGACGGCGAGCCUCAAACGAUCACCGCAGCGCGAAAAAAACUCGAGCCCUAGGUGGCGCUCCAUUGCGGUUCCGGUGAAGCUCCAUUGCAGCCGCGACAGAGCUCCAACGACUCCGGCAGGGCUCCAUUGCAGCUCCGAUGAAGCUCCAUUGCAGCGUCGGCGAGCUCCAAUGACCCCGGCGGUGCUCCAUUGCAGCCCCGACACGCUCCAUUGCAGCGACGGUAGAGCUCCAACAACCCCGGCGGUGCUCCAUUGCAGCCCUCGGCACGCUCCAUUGAAGCUCCGGCGAAGCUCCAUUGCAACCUUCCUGGAGCUCCAACGGCCCCGCGGCGCUUCACUGCAGAUCCGGCGGCACACGACGAUGCUUCAUUGCAACCUCGUCGGAGCUCCAACGACACCCGUGGCGCUUCACUGUAGCUCCGGCGGCGCCCGGAAGCGCUCGGAGGCGUUUCAUUGCAACCUCGCCGGAGCUCUAUUGCAACUCUGACGAAGCUCCAUUGCAGCCUGACGUAGCUCCAACGCAGUACGACGGUUCCCGGCGAUGUUUCGUUGCAGCACCGACGGGUCCCCCGCGAUGCUCCACUGGAGCACCACGCAGCCCCGGGUGGCAGCACGGGAGUUGCUGGAAAAAACCGGCGAGCCACCGCGUCGCUCGCUUGAAGCAUGGACAGAGCGUCGUCGCCCCCCUAUUGCGACACCGCCACGACCCCCGGGUCCGGCCGGCUGCACACUCAUUUGCAGCAUCGACACCCCGCUGCCCUACCUCACCGGCAGUUGCAUCUCGCACAAGGGCGCGUCCGCUCUUGCAGCGGCCAGUGGCUGGCCUUGCAGCAGUUAGGACGACAUGUUAGCGGUGUGCUUGGAGCAGGUGACGGCAAGCUCACCGCGGUGGCCGUUUGAUGAUGGAGCAGGUGACGACAAGCUCACAUGGGCGAUGGUGGUUGUAUGCUUGGGUUGAGAAAGAAGAGAGCCCGAGUGGAUAAGAUAGGAUGGAUGGCUCGUGAUGUUUCCUGGAGGGAAAGGACAGAGACAGGCGUGCUGGGCCACAGGGGCACGUGCCAGCUAGAGGAGGAGGUUUGCCUGACGGAGAAAUAAGUCGGAUGAAUAUAAACGUUUUCCGCUAAAUAAGCCGCGCGCUUGAAAUAACGGCUUUUUAGCACGCGUGUCCGAAUCGGCAGCUCGCACCCGAGCAAAAAUCGCGUGGGCGCUCCGCGGGGCCUCGCGCGCUGGUUUUUUCAGGUAUCCGCUACCGUGCGUUGUACAGCGACUUGCCCGCGCGAAUGUCCACCAACCGCCGGAUCUGAAAUAUCCACUCACGCGCACGACUUCUCCAUCCUCUCCAGCGACCCGUCGGCCCUUCCCCCCGCCGUUCCCCACCGCGCGUGCCGCUUCCCCCUCUUCCCUGUUGGUCGCCGGUGCCUCCUCCACCGCGGCCGCCCCUCGAGCGCCCCGUUCCGCCGACGAACUGCGCCCGGCGGGUGUUUGCAGCUUGGCGCCCACAAGGUGUUUGACAAAAGCUUGCAAGGUAUAUAUUUGUACUAAACCUCAUAUUUAUAGAUGAAUUCGGAGCAUGUUGUUUGUAGUGUCAAAUAUUAGUUUGAAUUCAAAUUUGUAGGUGAGUUCAUCCCACGAUUCUUCCGAUGAAGAAUUUGAUCUUCAAGAGGAGGAGGACCUUGCAAUGGUCCUAGCUAUGCACAUCAACAAAAAGCCGAAGCACGGUUUUUCGUCGUUAGAAACUAUGGAGGGAGAGGAUCGAUGCUGAGAACAGAUUGAUGAGGAACUAUUUUACUGCAGAUUCCCAUAUAUCCCGAGUCCUACUUUCGACGCCGUUUUAGGAUGAGCAUCGAGUUGUUCAAACACAUUGCAGAGAAACUAACGAGCUAUGAUCUAUUUUUUUAGCAAAGGAGGAAUGUCGCCGGAGAACUCGGGCAUAGCACCUUUCAAAAGGUGACCGCCGCUUUGCGUAUGUUGGCAUACAUAAUUCCGGCGAAUCUAGUUGAUGAUCACUUGGCCAUGGGUGAGAGCCAAGCCAUCAUGUGUUCGAAGCGCUUCGCGGUUGGAAUCGUGCAAGUGUUUGGUCCGGAAUAUUUGAGAGCUCCCAAUGCUGAAGACGACGCAAGGCUUUUGGAGAUGAAUAAAGCUCGCGGGUUCCAGAUAUGCUUGGCUCAAUGGAUUGUAUGCAUUGGAGUUGGAAGAACUGUCCUAAGGCAUGGCAUGGACAUUCCACGGGCAAAAAAAAGGUUCAACUAUAAUCCUUAAAGCGGUGGCCUGUCAGGAGACUUGGAUCAUGCUUUUUUUUGGAAUGCCAGGAUCGAUCAUCACUCAUGAAUAGUAUUGCAAAUGAUGAACUACCACCGGUGCAGUUUGUAGCAAAUGGCCAUACAUACAACUAUGGCUAUUAUCUUGAGGAUGACAUCUACCAAAGGUGGCAAACAUUUGUGAAGCCGUUGAAAAACCCAGAAGGUAAGAAAAAUGUUUAUUUCCACAAUGCUCAGGCGGCGGCUAGGAAAGAUGUGGAGAGAGGUUUUGGAAUUUUGCAAGCCCAAUUUGCUAUUGUGAGAGGACCAGCUAGAUUUUGGGAUCGAAAUAUCCUUUGGUACAUCAUGAAUGCUUGUGUGAUCAUGCAUAAUAUGAUCAUCGAGAACGAGCGUGGGCAAGAUUUGGACUAUUCUCAAUAUGAGUUGUUGGGACGUCCCGUACGAGUGCGGAGGAGUGUUGAGAGGGUGGCCCGCUUUGUUGGCUCCUAUUAUGCCAUUCGACAUGCCGAAACACAUGAUGAACUUCAGAAGGAUCUAGUCGAGGAGUGGUGGGCAUGGAAUGGGCGACAAAACACAUGACUGUUAUUUAUUGUAUUGGUCAUGAACUAUUUGUUGUAUUGAACUUUAAUUAUUUGUUUGAGUUAUAAUAAUAAAUGAACUAUUUUUUGUCGAUUUAUUUUGUGUGUGUUUGAUCUUCUUUGUUUCACAUUGAAUGCAAAAUGUUGUUUGUGCUGGGCGCGUGCGCUCUAUUUUACAGCGCCUGCUGAAGCGGCACUCGUGCGCUAAAAUUUCUAGGCGUCCGGUGAAGCAACUGACUAGUUCGACGCGCAAAAGCGCUGCAAAAACUAAUGAUAAAUGAACUAUUUUUUGUCGAUUUCUUUUGUGUGUGUUUGAUCUUCUUUGUUUUACAUUGAAUGCAAAAUGUUGUUUGUACUGGGCGCGCGCGCUCUAUUUUACAGCACCUGCUGAAGCGGCACCCUCGUGCGCUAAAAUUUCUGGGCGUCCGGUGAAGUAACUGACUAGUUCGACAUGCAAAAGCGCUGCAAAAACUUUUAGCGCGUCGCGCCUGUUGAAGAUGCUCUUAGCGACCCUCUCUGCCAUACUGCGGCGACCAUUACGCACGCGCAAUGUUUAAAACGAGACAGAAGAAAAUGAGGAAACCGCGAUUCGACCCCUGGUAGCUACACUCAACCUCAUGUUAAGGGCAUCUACAACCGUUUGAAAGGGAUUCAGUUAUGUAAUACUGCCCCCAAGUCUCAACCAUUUGUUGUUUGCAGAUGGCUCGUUGGUACUAAGGAAAGCCAAUGGCGAAAGCACCACAACACUGCAAUACAUACUAGAACUCUAUGAGAAUUGCUCGGGAAGUACAGACAAUUAGUUUUGACAAGUCGUCGGUGAUGUUCAGCAAGAAUACAAGGAGUGCUAACCGGCAAGAGGUCCUAUAUGUACUGAAUAUUCGAGGGGAGACAUGGAAUGAAAAGUAUCUGGGGCUCCCAGUCUAUGUUGGUGCAGCAAGAUCACAAGUUUUUUAGUAUCUUAAGGAUAGGAUCUGGAAGAGAAUCCAAGGAUGGAUUGAGAGGCUUCUGUCUCAGGCUGCUAAGGAUGUUCUAAUCAAAGCUAUCCCAACUUUCGCUAUGUCCUGUUUUGACUUGACAAAAUCUCUUUGUGAACAAAAUGGGUGCCAUGAUCUGCAGGUAUUGGUGGCACGGCAAGAUGACAUGAAAAAAAUGCACUGGCUGAGCUGGGAACUUUUAACUAGACCGAAAAGUAAGGGGGGCUGGGUUUUAGGGAUCUACACGGUUUUAACCUUGCAAUGCUUGCCCGCCAGGCGUGGCGUGACAGUACCUGAUUCCUUGUGCGUCCGGGUCCUAAAGGCCAAGUAUUUCCCGUCUGGAUCGAUCUUGGAUGCCCAACCAAAGGCGGGGGUAUCAUACACAUGGCGAAGCAUUUUGCGAGGGUGCAGCUUCUUAAGGAGGUAGUCAUCUGGAGAGUAGGAGAAAGGACAAGCAUAAAUAUCUGGACUGAUCCUUGGUUGCCAAAGGACGGAACACGGCAGCCCCGAACCCCUAGUGGCAACUGUGUGUUUACCAAAGUCUCUGAACUAAUUGACCCAAAUACUAUGACAUAGGGUGAGACACUGAUUGGAUAUAUUUUCUGGGAGGAGGAUGCCAGUAUCAUUCUAGCCAUGCUGAUAAGGGAGGACUUUGAAGAUUAUUAUGCAUGGCAUUACGAUGGAAAGGGCGAAUUUUCUGUCAAAUCCGCGUACCAGGUGUUUGUUGGAGGGCUCGAUGAAAUAGCUUUUCCUACAUCUGCUGUAGCAGCUAAAGAGGAAGUGGACUGGAAGAAACUCUGGGCUAUGCCCUGCCCGCCCAAAGUCAAGCAGUUCCUAUGGCGCUUUGCUCAGUCUGCCGGUCAAGAUGAACAUCCGACGGAGAGGCGUUGAAUGUGAAACCCUAUAUAUGUGUGUGCUGUCGGCGACUCGAUGAAGAUGGAUGCCACUUGUUUAUCAAAUGCAAGGAGGUAAAGAUGCUUUGGCGGGAGAUACAGAUGGAGGAGGUCAGGUUGCGGUUGUGUGCAUGUAGAGGAGCAAAGGAAGUGGUGCAACAUGUCACCUCGCACUCUCGCUAUGUGAGAGUGAUCAAGUGUUAAUUACAUGCAUGCUAUGGAAGUGGUGGAACCGCAGGAAUAAACUAAACAAGAAUGAGGGUGUGUCUCAUGUUGUGACCACGGCUGCACAUGCAAGGUCCUUCGUGCCGCCCAACCGUCCCCCGCAUCGCCCCCCGCAUGGGCGACUCGGGCGGAUUGGCAAUCCUAGCCGCUAGGCAGCCGCAGAUCCCGUGCCUCCCUCCGUCGCCGCUGGAGGAAGCCACCGGGCAAGCCUGGUGCCCGACGACGGUGGGGGAGGCUCCCUUCUCUCCCACGCAGGUUUGGACGAUGCGGGGCAUCCAUGGGCAUGGGGCACCUGCCCAGAUUUCAAUCACUGGCGGCGUAACGUCUCUCCGGCGGCGGUGCUGCAGGGUCGACGGGGAGGACUGGUGGUGCGGCUGUUGGCGGCGAUGUGCGGGUUGGCUGAUCCAGCCCGUACAUGUGGCCGGCCGGCGGCUGCGUGGAAGGGCCAGCGAGGGGCGCCAGAGGCCUCUGCUGGCGAUCCGGUGGAGUUUCUGGAUUGGAUCCGGUCGUCACGCCCGAUCCGUCCGGCCGUUUGGGAUAUUGCGGGGUGCCCGGCGGUCUGCUGCCGGAGUACCGACGGCGACGUACGUCUUCGUGGCGAGGUUCCGCUCGGUUCCAGCCAGCCGCAAGAUCGGGACGACGUGGCUUUCGGUGAAAAUCGCGCCUGACUGCGGUCUUGGCGGACGAUGGCGGUGUCUCGAACGUCGUUCCUUUCUCGAGGCAUCGUCGUUGCAGGUCACGUCAACCUGAUUGGGAAGUUCCGAGGGAAACCCUAGAUCUGGGUCUACCGGAUCGGACGAUGACGGCGCCUUCGGUGUCGUUCUUCCUCCUAGGGCAUCGUUUUGGAGCAAGUGCUGGUUGGAGGGGACAAGAGGAGGAGCGGUGUUUCAUCUUGCCCAUUGAUGACGGCAGAUCUCGGCGGCGUGGCGCAGUGAAGACUCGGCGCCCGAUGCGUGGAGAUGGACUCGCGCAGGAGGAUGACGCUGUCUGGUGUCGUGGUGGCGUCGGCGGCAGUUAGACCAGGCAAGGUACAUGCAUCAGUACAGCUCUGAAGAUGGAUUGGUGGCAAGUGGCUGCGGCGGCUCAUACCCGGCAGGCGUCCUGGUUGAGGAGCACGCCGGACUAGUGGGUGCCCAUACCCGGCACGCGUCCUGAUUGGGACCUUAGAUCUUUGAUGUUAAGUUUGGCUGUUAUGUCUGUUUGGUAUUAGGCCCAGACUAUCAGCGCCCCUUCAUCAACUGGAUAGGAGUUGCGACAGAUGUUGCGUAGACGGUGACUUUAGUCUUACUGUUGUAUGACUUUGUAAGGUCUUAUGUCAAUAAUUAACAAAAUGGUUGUAUGCAUCGUCCAGAUGCAGAGGCUGGGGUCUUCCUUCUUUUUCUAAAAAAACAAAAACAUGCAAGGUCCUUGGCUCUAGAAGUCAUGCAGUUCAGUGCGAAACAGCCAAAGGUGCAAGCUACCAGGCCGGCCUACAGAUGGACAAGACCGGAGGGAGAUAAACUGAAAAUCAACAUCGAUGGGCGUACCAUGAUUCAUCGGGGACCGGGGGCUGGGGGUUUGUAAUCCGAGAUAGAAGUGGAGAUGUUGUUGGUGCAGGAGAUGUGAAAAUCACGCAUGCCAGUACUGCCACGCGUACAGAGGCCGAAGCCUGUUUCCAAGCAUUGUCAGCUGCGGCGACAUGGGGUAUUUCCAAUGCGGUUGUGGAAUCAGAUUGUCAAAUCCUACUGAACGUGUUAUACUCAGAGAUACCAGGCAGUUUAUCCGUCUGAAUUUUAGUUCUUUGGCUUUUUCUUUUGUCCCUCGUGAUGGUAAUAAAGUUGCCCAUGCUCUCGCUGCAUUGGGUUGUAAUGGCUCGGAGCACCACCGGUUGUGGUUGUAUGGUGUACCGAACAAUGUACGCGUGAUGAUGGCCAGCGAGUCUGCUGAGCCUGUUUAAGUCAAGGAACCUCAGUGUUCCAAUUUCAAAAAAUAAAAGAGCAUCUACAACCACAUAUUGCAAAUCUGUGCCCUCAAAUGUCCCGAACGAUUGGGCGGGCCUCAAAAAUGACCAUUUUCAAUCACACUCGUAUUAGUCCCACCUCACCGCGUGACGAGCUAGUCGACCGGCUUAAUAGCCGGGUCGUGCGGAACCAAUAAGCUUCUCACUUCAUUGGAUCCUUUGUAAAGAAUAGACUAUUACUAUAAAUCUUCUAUGUGGUAAACAUAUAAGAUUCAUAGUCACGGUCUAUCUCCUUUACAGGGGAAACAUUUAUAUCCGUACUGCUUUUUAUGAAUCACAAUUUGUCAAAAAAGUCGAUGAAUAAAAUUAAAAAUCUACUAUCACUAUAGUAAGGGUAUCAACGUACAUGAACGAGACGAACUUGACCCUCGACGAACAAUCAUCAGUUAAUGAAAUACAGUCUAGUGUCAAGUUAUCUCGCUCACACAACAAUAAUUGAUAGACUUACAUAACAACAGAAAAGCUUGCCGUCAUGCGCCAGCGUGGCUAUUUAAGACGAUCGGCGUCCGCCUCGCCCAGCAAUGUGACACUAAAAUUUUGCUGCGCCUAUGAGAGAGGACGGAACUUCAGUCGGUGCAGAUGGGACCGCUACGACCUGCAGCGGGGUCAGAGCACGCACCUAGGCGCCCCCAUAAUCCGCCUCAGGGCUGGAUAUGAGGAGUGUCGGUCAGCCCGGGCAUUUGAGGUCCGUUUAAGGCGCCCGGCUGGGUCAAAAUUUUGCAACCGGCCAAUGACCGGGCGGCCCGCCCGCGCGUUUGAGGCGGGUUUGGAGUGCCCGGCUGUGGAUGCUAUAAAGUAGUUCGCGGGUCAUACUUGAGGCAUAAAGUAGCUGGGUGCGCCCUAUUUUUUCUUUCUUUCUCUAUUUUCUUCUACCUUUUUUGGUUUUUCUUCCUUAUUUCGCUUUUUUGUUCUCCAUUUUUUCAUUGUUUUUUAUUUGUUUCUUAGGUUGUAAUUGUUUUUCUCUCUUUUUGUGUCUUUUAUUUCUUCUCCGGCUUAGUUUAGUUUUCAUUUUUUUUAAUUCUUUCUACAUUUGUUUCUUUGUUUUUUUAGUUUUUGUUUGGUUUCCUUUUUUCUUCUGCAUUUUUUUCUUUUGUAUUUUCUUAUGUUUGUUUUCGUUUUCACUCUACAUUUUUGUACAUGUCAAAAAAAAUUGUAACAAGUGAUCAACAUUUUUUGUUUACGUGUUCAACAUUGCCCGAACGCUAUUUCAACAUUUUUUGGAAACUUGUUCAGCAUUUUAAUAGUUAUUCAACAUUUUUUCAAAUACUUGUUCAAGAUUUAUAAUACUUAUUCGAUAUUUUGAAAUACUUGUUUAACAUUUUUCAUAUACUCCUUCAACAGUUUUAAUACCUAUUCUACAUUUUUCAAAUACUUGUUCAACAUUUUCAAAUUCAUGUUCAAUAUUUUUAAAUACUUGUUCAACAUUUUUCAUAUACAUGUUAAACAUUUUUUGAAUACCUAUUCAACAUUUUUCAAAUACUUGUUCAGUAUUUUUAAUACUUAUUCAACAUUUUUUCAAAUACCUGUUCAACACUCUCAAAUUCUUGUUCGACAUUUUUUAAUACUUAUUCAACAUUUGUUUUCAAUUGUGAUUUUGAAGAGUGUUUUUGUAAUAUAUACAUAUAUAUAGAGAGAGGACAUCUUAAAGUGUAAAGAAAGGUACAAAAAUAACAAAAAAUGAGAACAUAAAACACACACAAAAAUCGGUUGUGGCUCCCGAGCGGCUAGGCCGGCCCGUCUGGGAAUCGCCCCAACACGAGCGCAUCCCCAUGUCUCGCUUAAAGCGAGACAUAGGGGUGCCCCUGCCAUACGCAGUCCGGAUUCCACCCACGGGUAACUUGGCCGGACCCACCUAGCUGCUCUCAAAGAUACGCAGAUACCUGGCAUUUCCUAAAUGGCGUUUAUUCGAUUGUUGCAAACAGGCGCACACCGCUCCCUCCGCGUUGGCCCGGCCCAUCUUACGUUUUGUUUCUUUUCUAUAAACCCUUAAAGAAAGAGCGCCCGUGGAGUUUCAAACUCUGCAUCCGUGCUUCCCCGUAGGAGAUCGAACCACUGAUAAACAACCAACAUAUUUUCUAUUGUGCUAUAAGACAUCUAUAAUACCUAAAUAUUUCAUCCCCGCUAUGUAAUUUCUCUUAACAUGCAAGCUAGCCACAUCAGAAAUAAUCCACCUCAGCAAAUCCACAACCAGCGAAAACAAAUCUUUUCCUUUAGUGCGCAUGGUUUCCUUCCCAUCUUCUGUAACUGACGAAACGUGUCGUCUUAUCCUCAAACCAAUCGACAUCUCAUCAUAUAUUCCCUUCCAUCAAAAGCUUGAACUCUCGGGUUCUCCUCCACCGGCCGGUCGCGCCACGCAAGCCGGCGGCAGCCACUUCGCGCAUCUACACGGGUGGCGCCUCCCUCGGUCCCUCACCCGGUUGUCCGCGUCUGCCAAGCUGGCCGGACAACUGCCGAGAACCCACAUCGGAAGCGGCGGCGCUCCUCCUGUAGACGCCACUGCGGCCGCCUUGCCACAACUCCAACCACCGCAUGCCUCCAAACACCGUGCAGAGGCAUCGUUCUGAUAAACACACUACAGCUAAGUUGUGGAUUAUCCCCUUUGACGUUGCUUUUCAUUUGAUUCGUAUAAUCCCUGUAUUCCUCUUCCCAGAGCAUCCAGAUCCAUCCCCUUCCUUCAGUUUGUUGUCUGGGAUAGCCUCAUACACCUGCCUCUAUUGAUUUUGCAGCCGGUGGCAUGCUGCUGGGCUAGCAAUCCGGAAUUUUUUACUUCGUCUACCCAACAAGGUAAAGAUUAGCCACGAUCCUUUAUUUUUCGUGGGAAUAGUCCCAUCUACCCGCUUCUCUUAUUUUUACUCAACGUUCUGACUGCCAGCAAUCCUACCCCAUAGAGUUUGGCCCUGAUGGUAGCUUCUUGUUGCAUUUGUAUUCUUCUGCAGAGAUUAACUCUAUUCCACUGUCCAAAAAAAGAUUAACUCGAUGCAUUUUAUGAUGAGAAUGAGAUAGUCCAUUCUGGAUUUAUUAUAACUAAUGUAGUUACUGCGUGAUUAUCUAUAUACUACAAUCUGGAUGUUCUAGCAAUAACAUGGUAUGUUCCUUUAUAAUUGCAGGUAUACAGUCAAGUCUACACAAAACUGUAUGGUCGACAACCUUCUUUACUCUUGCAUCAGGAUCCCGCAUACAAAUCAUUCGCAAAGAUUUCUCUACUCUUGAUCGUGGCUAAUCUUUACCGUCGCAAAACUUCGCUCACUUUCAGGUUUGCUGCUUGAAAUUCUCAUGCCUGUAAUUUGCUUUAAUUAAAUUCCAAAUGUAUCGUUCCCAGGGUCUCACGUACAACUGAUGGAGAAUUUUUUAAUGAAAAUGUUGUUCACUGUUUUCCAUUAGGGAUCUUUCGAUCAGAGCAAGAACCCGGCUGCGACCAACCUCAUUUCAUAUUUUUGCCUCGGUCAGCAGCUUGGCAUAUUUUGUUCGCUCCUUUUAAACCUGGGUAAUUCUGCACAUAUUUUUUAUCUCCAACUCCAACACAUGUUUUUGAUAUACCAAUGGGUCAUUACAGGUUGGUAUAGCUGUUUGUGAACUUAUAUCCUUUUCCUUUUUUCUUCAGAAUAUGUUUUUCCAAUGCUAGCAGAAUUCUAUAGACUUUAUAUCUUAAGAGGCCAUUACUAGGACAAUGCUACCUGCCAAUAAAAAUUCUUCACGAAUCAACAGGGUGUACAAAAAUGUGUGCAGUGUUACCAUACAAAAUGGUUGAGGUGCCAUAUGCUCUCUCAUGUUUACCCUUACUGUUUACUUUAGUUAUUCCAACAAAGAGUCUGGCAGAUCAUGAUGCUUAAAUUUCAACCACAAAACGUCAGGUGCUAAUUCUCUCUUCUCUUACAUCGUGUUACUUUUUUUGUUACACAUAAUUAUCUGAAGUGCUACCCUUUUUAUUGGUUUUCUAUCAUCUCCUCUUCCAACACUUGCACUCCAGGAUGCCUCUAAAGCCUCACAUCACUCUUCCAUCAGUUCUACCAAGAAAGACAUUCAGCAUAUACAUGCACGCAAUGAAUCAGCUCACGGAAUCUACAAAUGCAAAAGUGUGCGGAACUAUCAGAAGCAAAUUUCAGGGAGAAAACAUCAGCAACUAACUACCCAUGAAGAUCACAUUAUAACUGUUGGUUGCAUAAACAAGGAAGCAAUUUUCAUGGCAUAUAGCUCAUUUGUACAUAUAUUAUACAAAGUGGUUGCACUGAAUAUAACUUAUGUACAAUGUACUACUUAAAUUUUCCCUUUCAACUCAAGCCCCCCUACAGAUAUCAUGGUGUUUUAUUCUUCGAUUCAUUAACACAUUGCUUCUCAAAUUAGUCCCCAAAUACCCGCAGCAACGAGCGGGGAAUUCAUCUAGUUACACAAAUGCUUGUAUCCAAUAUUUGGAUUCUCAUAUCCUCCAAGACAUUACACAAAUGCUUGUAUCCAAUAUUUAGAUUUCCAUAUCCUCUAAGGCAUUGAAUGCAUAGCCAAGAGGGGUGCAAUAAAUAUCACGCAAUCCCGUUCUUCUCCUCACACCACCAUUCCAACAACUUCUUUUGAGCACUUGGCCAUGGCGUUCAGUGGCACCCAGAUGCUCGGUGCUUUCACCCUGGGCAUUCUCCUUAUGGCCUUCUGUAAGUUCAUAUAACAGAUUUUAACGCAUCUCCCAUAGUUCAGAAUUUUGAAGCAACUAGCGGGAACAUGAAUUCAAUACACAUGAUUAAUUAUUGGAGAUAGAUACUAUACACAAAUGCUUGUAUACAAUAUUUGGAUUUCCAAAUCCUCUAAAGCAUUACACAAAUGCUUGUAUCCAAUAUUAGGAUUUGCAUAUCCUCUAAGACAUUACACAAAUUGUCGUAUCCGAUAUUUGGAUUUCCAUAUUCUCUAGGCCUCUUUUGGUUCAUAGGAUAAGAGUAUCAUAGGAAUAAGAAAGUUGUAGGAAAUGAGAUGACAUGUCUCUUAAAUCCUAUGAGUAGGGACAGAAAAAAAGAUGCCAUUUGGUUCACAUCAAAGGAAUUUUUCAUUAAGUCUAGACUAAUGUUUAUUUUCCUUUGAAAUGUGAAGGAUAUGAACCAAUCCCAUGUAGCAAUAGAAUUCCUAUGAAAUUUCUAUAGACCAAAGGAGGCCUAAUACAUUACACAAAUGCAUGUGUCCAAUAUUUAGAUUUCCAUAUCCUCUAAGGCAUUGAAUGCAUAGCCAAGAGAGAUGUUAUAAAUAGCACACAAUCCCGUUCUUUUCCUCACGCCACCAUUCCAACAAUUUCUUUUGAGCACUUGGCAAUGGCAUUCAGCGGCACCCAGAUGCUCGCUGCCUUCACCCUGGGCAUUCUCCUCAUGGCCUUCUGUAAGUUCAUAUAGCAGAUUUGACCGCAUCGCAAUCCCAUGCAAUUUAAGAUCAAAUCUAUGAAACGAUUGCUAAUAUAAUUUUCGGGUGCACACGCUAAUUGUAUGUCACAUGCAGGUGCGGAGGCUCGGGUAUGCAUGUCGACUAGCAAGUUGUACAAAGCGAACCCUUGCAAGAACGUGCGCUGCACCAAGGCUUGUCACAAAGAGCACUUCAAGGGUGGGUUUUGCUCCAGUAAAAAGUCGAUCGUUGAUGACGAGCUCAACGAAGACAACGGCGACAACAACUUUGGCAAACGGCCUAAGAAAAAAUCGAAAAAAUCGUGCAUGUGUACAUUCCCAUGCGGUCAAACCCCACCACCACCGUCGGAACCUGAUGUGCCAGAGCCGCCCGAAGUGCCAGUGCCCGGGCCACCGCCGAGGGCCGGCCAUAUUUAUUGAGUGUUGAGUAAAUGAUCAUAUGUAUGAACCUGAGGUGUCGAGGAAAGAGAGGAAACAAUCACUGCUUAAUUUGUACACAUGCAUGAUUGAUUGCAUAAGAAUGAUAAUAAUAAUAAUCUAAAGUGAAUCAACAGUAAACACGAGUGUCUCUACCAUGGAUCAUAGU